AAUGCAAAAACAUCUUUCUUACUUCUUUUUUUCCAAAAAAAAAAAAAUCAAAAUAUAUUUAUUUUUUUAAUAUCAUUUAAUUAGAAUAUCAAAGUGUAACAAGCUUAACUAUUUUAUAUCAUAGAUUCAUAUGGUAGACACAAAAAAGUAUAAAACAUCUCAUUGUUAUUAUCAUCAUACAAUAUUAUUUUAUUUUUACAGUAGGCCUCACAUUCACCAAGAACACCACACCAGUGCCAAAAGCAAAUGACCCACCACCUAUGAGAUUUUUUUUUUUCUUCCUCCUCCUGUUUCUUCUUCCUCCUUUUUCUCUUUCCUUGCUUUCCCCAGCUAGUACGUAUUUUCACCUGCAAGAUAAAAACAAACAAUAUCAUGCCUUUGAUAGUAAAAAAGAUGACCAAUCUACCAUAUAACAAGAAGGAAAAAGAAAAAAAAACAUAGAAAAAUCAUCAGAAAAAAGAAAAUCUUCAAAUUGGAAACUACUUUUUCCCAUGGCAUUUGAAGAUGAUGAUGACAGAUCGAUCAUUCUGCAAUAUUAAAAGAUCCUUCUUCUGCUAAUAAUGAUCUACAGUUGUUCAAUCUCAAGAAAAACACAGAUCCAACAGGUUUCUGAUGGAGAAAUUCAUAUGAAAAAUGAGAGCAAUAUGAUAAUAAGGAAAUCUAGCAGACUGCAUACCAUAGGUGGGAAGAAGAAGGGAGGAGGUAGGGGGUGGUCUAGUCGCUGUCGCUGCUGCUGCUGCUAUGGCCAUCAUGUUCAUGGCCAUGCUCGUGCUUCUUCUUCUCCUUCUUCUUCUUCUUCUCCCCAACAGGCCCGUGUUCAUGUCCAUGUCCUUGGAUCUUCUCCAUUAUCCCUCCCUUGUGUUCACCUUGCCCAUAACCCUCUCCCUUGUGUUCACCAUGCCCAUACCCCUGACCCUCUCCUUUGUAUUCACUAUGCCCAUACCCCUGACCCUCUCCUUUGUAUCCACCAUGCCCUUGCCCCUCUCCCUUGUAUCCACCAUGCCCUUGCCCCUCUCCCUUGCGCUUCUCCUCCUCCUCCUUGCGCCCUCCCCCCAUGUGAAGGGUCUCCUCUAUCUUGUGGAUGAUUCCUGCCAUUUUUCUCUCUGUGAAAACCUUGAUCUGAUGUACACAACAAUGGACAACCAACCUCCCUUAUUUAUGGGCAUUCAUAUUCCAACUUAUCUCAACCCUUGUUUCUGAUUCAUGUUCCAUUGCAAUAUCAUGAACGUACACGUGGAUGAUAUUAAAUGCGAAUUUUCUUCUGAUUUUUCCAAGACACGCGGCGGAUCGAGACAGCAUUUCCGAUCGUCAUCUGAUUCAGUUUUUCCUGUACUCUUCCUCCUCUAUGAUUCCACGUUUUCAAAAGUGCUUUUUCCAGCGAAUACCGUGUGUCGGCACUUGGAUAAAAGUCCGCGUGACAAUGAUUUUAUUUUAGAUUUUGAUAUUGUCUCUUUUUUUCGUUCCAUCCUAAUUAUGAAUAUAAUUAAUUUUAAUUUUGGGAGAUGAAGUGGGACCCAGUUGUUCAUAUCAAAAUGACUUGUUGUUUACAUUAAAAUAAGAUGCGGAAUGGAUAAGACGGCGUGCUCAUUCAGGUGCCGACACACGGUAUUCAUAGAAAAGUGCUUUUGGAAAAGUUGGAAGCCAUCCAGAAGUUAUGAUCGGGAUGAGAAGCCACACCCUCCACCACAUCAGCCUACCAUUCCUCUCCACGUCCACAUGCAAAACCAUUUCUCCAUCCGCCGCGUGUAUCCAAAAUUGAAAUUCACAUUGGAUUGCGUCAAUUAAUUCUAUAAAUAAUUUGAAAGGUAAUAAAAAAUAAAAUAAGAGAUAUAAAGUCUCAUAUUUUUUUAAAAAUAAUAUUUUUUUUUUUAAAUAUCUCCAUGCAGGCCCACAGUAUUGAAGGGAGUCACGUGGUCACGUGAUUAUGACACCGGCAAUAAAGGAGGUACGUUGAAGUCUUCAUCUUAUCAACACCGUAUUAGAUUCACAACCCCACUCUGCUUAAUGCCUGCCCUCUGCUUUUAUGAGAGAUGGUGAGGACCACUUGUAACACUUUGCCGACAGGUUGUGUUUUGCCCGUUUCCUCUCUAUUUCAUUUCUUAAUGUUAAAAUUUAAUCUUGAUUAAAAAAAAAUUAAAUUCUAAAAAAAGGGUUUGAAAUUUCUAUAUCCAUUCCUUAACAAGUUAAUUAAAUAGAUUUAUUAUAUUUAAAAUUAUAAUAUAAAUUGUACCUUCCUUAAGAUAUGUUGGGAGUAGUAAAUUUUAGGGCUCGUUUGACUGUGAUUCAAUCUUCAAUUGGGUAGGAGACAUUUGUGUGGUAAAAUGUAUUAAUACUUGAUAAAUAAAGAAAAAUUAUAUGAAGACUUAAAGUCUAUGUUUGGAUAAAUUUCUAAUUUUUUGUUUUUGAGAUGAAAAAUCUUAUACAAAAUAUACAAGUUUUUAUAUAUAAAAAAAAUUGUUUUGUAUAAGAGUUUUUAUAUUUUCUACAAGAGUUUCUAUUUUUGAAAAUAAAAAAUUAGAAAAUGUAUCUAAACGUCUCCUAUAUUAGUUGAUCGUAGAGAAUCUAUUUUUAAAUUUUUCUUACUUGUCCCAAUCAUAAAAAUAAAAACUAGAAAAUUGGAAGUAGGGGAGGUCUUAAGAACCCUACUAUAGGGAAAGUCCGAGUUUACAUUUCCUCAUAUGCUGAGAUUUUUUUAAUUCUAUCUCAUUAUCUAGCCCUUCAUUUUUAUCUCAUUGCCUUCUUAAAAGACUUCUUACUUAAUAAGUGACACCCUUAUAUUAUUACAACUAUUAAGGUUGGGAGCCGAACUUUAGGGUUCCUACAAAGGCUAGGUGCACCUUGAUGGUAUGUUUGAUGCUUAUAUCGUCAAGUUCUUAAGAUAAGUCGAGAAUCUUGGUUUAAUAGACAAAAUUGGAGGUUCAUUGAGAUGAGAUAAACUAUGUAGUUUUAGACCACUUUGACUGAAUUAAGAGAAGGGGACCUACCACCAUCAAGCAAAACAUGUUAUCGAUAGACAAUACUCCAAGUCAAAGGCCUCUCAUUGAUGACCUAUACGACUAAUAGGGGGCAAUCUUAAACAUCAAUAUAAAGACCUAGUUAAAAAGGUUGUCAUUUGUGCAUAAAUUUGAGAGUAUUUUGGAUUUUGGCCCCUAAAAGCUUUUGACCGUCUCUCCAAGAGUCUUUUUCUAAGUGCCCGUUGUAUUUCAUUCCUACUUUAAGUUGAUUACCACUUGCUCUCCUCCAUUUUUCUUCAAGAAUUAACAACUUAACAUAUUUAUAGCCCAACUAUCUACAAAAAAACCCUCAAUCAACAUUAAAGUAACUACAGUGAGGAGUUGCAAAAAAGCGUUGAGGAAAUGUAGUGGCAUGUAGGCUCUUAUCGAAGAAUAGAAUCAUUCUUACCAUAACCAAUCCUAAGCUCUUAUUCCAAGCAAUAGCUGUAGGAAGAGUGUAAAUAAUUUUUAUUUUUAUUUUAUUUUUGGGAAGAGUCCUAUUGGGAAUUUUUUUUUUAUUUUAAUCUAUUAAUCUUAUAUUUUUGGGAAGAGUCCUAUUGGGAUUGUGCUAGUGGAGUCUCAUUCCUUUUAUAAGUAGAAUCCCCUUCCAUUUUGAGUCAUGUUCUGAUUACAAGUAGAGUCACAUUAGGACUGUAUUAGUGGCUUAUAAAAGAAGGUCACUCCUCACUCUCUGUAUAUGAAUACCAAUUUUCCAGAGAGUUUUUCAGAGAGUAUUUCCAUACAUCUAUCUGGAGGAUUUUUUGUUUUUAAAACCCGAGUUGUACACAUCUCGCUUACAAAGUGCACCCAAUGUGGGAUCUAGCUGUUGAAUCCUAGAGGUAGACCACUGGUACCCUAGUACACCGAGUUCGUCUUCGAGGAAGGUGGAUCUAUUUCAAGGACAAUGUUUGUCAUGCCUCAAUCGAUGAGUUUUUCUUCUUAUUAAUUUUGUUCUUUGUUUGUGUCUUUUAGGCUAAUCAUUUGUUUUCAUACCCUUAAAACCAAUAGUAGCAAGGCAUUUUCCAAUCUUAUUCCCUUACUUAUCACUUUUGAAAACAUCUAAACUUGGAUCUUAAACGGUCUCCACUUGUUCUAUCUCCUAACUUGAAAGAGGCAUAUGUUGUUCCUAACUAACCUAUUUAAGAUAUGUAACAACGAUUACCAUUGAAGCCCUAUUAUAAUCCACCUCUUUCAAGCUAGUUAGUUGACCUUAUUCCCUUUAGUAUAUGACUCCUACCAUCAUAUGCUCUUCAAUGGCCACAUUAAUAAUGCCUAUGAGCAUCUUUGUCACUUCAUCCAACCCCUUUGUGCCCAUAGAGCAGGCCAUAACCUUCAUCUUCAUGAAUUCCUUAAUUCUUUAAGAUGACUACUCUCUUUCACCACAGGUUUGUUAGCACAGAUAAAUGUUUUGUCUACAUUAAUUUAAUCCAAGAUUGUUCACACCAUGUAUAAGAUGUCACAUGUUAUAUCCAUCAAUUCUAUUAACGUGCAACAGGGCAUUACAACCCUAUCUCUAAAGAGAUCCUAGCCCACUUGUAAAAUAGUGAUAGCAUAAUGAUAGACAAUAUUGUCUACCUCAAAAGUAAAAAAAUUCCAACCUUUUCUAAGAUUUAAAAUAGCUCACUAAGUGAUUUCUACCUGAACACUUUUGUCUUUAUCUUGGUUAAGAACAAGAUUUAACACUACAAUGCAAAGCCCUUGUAAAGGUAACUUUGGGAUGAAUUUUGUUGAGAUUGUAUGCUCUAAAAACUACUAUAUUUGGCAUUUUAUCUUGCCAAUAAUUUUUUUUAUUAUGAAUCUUAUCAUAUAUCUUGGAUAAUUUGUAUCUAUUUUUAUGCAUGAUUAAUGUAUUAAUGUAUCCAAGUUUUAAAUUGUAGAUACAAUGAUGCAUAACAUUGGAUGUGCAUAGUGUUGAGGAUCCUCUGCCUUAAUCUAAGGCCUUCCAUAUGUGCAUCCAUUGACCCUCAAUCAUAGGAGCUUGUUUAGCUAAUUCUUUCCAUUUAUUUUAUAAUCAAUCUUUAUGUGUAAUUAAGUUGUUAUACAAUUUGUGAAUGAUUAUAUAUAUGAAAGACUCUCACCACAAAAAGGUGUGGUGGUUUUCAAACAUUCUCAUGGUAUCAGAGUAUACUUGGAUUAACAUCCCACGAUCCCCAAUGGCCUCUGAUUCUUCUUCCACCCUCCUUCCCUUCAACACCAUGAUUCACAUGGGUACUAUCAAACUCUCAUCCUCUAACUAUCUCUUAUGGAAAAGCUAACUUCUUCCCUUUCUCGAGAGCCAAGGUCUGCUGGGUCAUGUGGACGGUUCUCUUGAGCCGCCACCUCCAUUUGAUCCUCCCACCUCUCAGACACCAAAUACCAAACACUUGGCAUGGAAAGCCAUUGAUCAGAGCCUAUUGACUAUUCCCCUCGCUUCUGGUUUGAUGCCUUUAGCACUACAGCUUAUAUCAUCAACUGAUUUCCCGCACCACUUCUUGGAGGUAAGUCCCCUUUUGAGCUUCUAUAUAGUUCCUCUCCAAAUUAUGAAAAUUUUCAUCCAUUUGGUUGUUGUGUUUAUCCUUGUUUACGUGAUUAUAUGCCUAAAAAAUUUCCUCCCCGUAGCAUUCCUUGCAUUUUUUGGGUUACAGCUCCUCUUACAAAGGGUUUCAUUGUCUUGAUCCUACCACUUCUAGGCUAUAUAUCACCCGCUAUGCUCAAUUUGAUGAGACUCACUUUCCCUUUCUCACUACCUCUCAGGCUCAACCCCUAUCCUCCCUCUAAUUCUCAAAUUUUCUGGAACCCAGUAUUCCCCCUCCAGUCAUGCUACCAUAUUCUCUUAUGCCUCAUUCCCGGCAUAUUACACAAUCUGGAUCUACCCCAUGUAGUAUUUGUACUAAUCCAGUGGAUGAGCCUUUGCAGGUUAAUGAUUCUCUUAUAGGUCCAUCUCUGCCACACUUAGAUCCUAGUCUUGCUUCUCUUGAGCUCACCACCGAGCUACCUACCCUUGCUCCUAUUGUGGCUGCUUCGAUGGCUUCUUAUCCCAUGAUUACACGAGCCAAAAUUGGUAUUUUCAAAAAUCGUCAUCCGGCAAAUCUUACUCUCUUGGGAUCCUCCGGUCUUCUCUCUACUCUACUUGCAUCCACUAAGCCCAAAUGAUUCAAAUCUAUUGCUAAGAAUCCUGUUUGGCUAACCGCUAUGGAUGAAGAAGUUCAAGCCCUGCAAACUAAUCGUACCUGGAUUUUGGUUCAUCACCUUACCAAUACCAACAUUGUGGGUUCCAAAUGGGUGUUUCAGACCAAAUACUUGCCUGAUGGAUCAAUUGAGCUUCUCAAAGCUCGCCUUGUUGCCAAAGGCUAUACACAGGUACCUGGUCUCAACUACACUGACACUUUUAGUCCUGUUAUCAAGGCUACAACUAUCUGUGUUGUCCUCUCUCUUGCUGUGACCAACAAAUGGUCUCGUUGUCAACUUGAUGUCAAGAAUGCAUUUCUUAAUGGUCAUCUUACUGAACAUGUCUAUAUGGAACAACCUCCUAGGUAUAUUGAACCCCGCUUCCCUAAUCAUGUCUGUCAGUUGAAGAAAGCUCUUUAUGGCCUCAAACAGGCUCUUCGUGUCUGGUUUCAGCGAUUCAGCUCUUUUCUCAUUCAACUUGGUUUUUAUUGCAGUCGUGCCAACACCUCACUCUUUGUCUUUCAUAGGCAGUCUGACAUUAUUUAUUUGCUUCUUUAUGUUCAUGACAUCAUUAUUACAGCCAACAACUCAUCUCUUCUUGAUAGUUUUACUCAUAAGCUUAAUACUUAGUUCGCUACUAAGGAUUUGGGUUCUCUCAGUUACUUUCUUGGUCUGGAAGCUACAUCCACUAUUGAUGGUCUCUUUCUUAGUUAGUUGAAAUAUGCCUGGGACAUCCUCACGCGAGCUCAGUUACUUGACAGCAAGCUUGUUCACACCCUCAUGGUUGUUUCUCAGCAUCUGUCUUCUGAUGGUCCUUUGUUUUCAGAUCCUACUCUUUACCGAUCUCUUGUUGGUGCUCUCUAGUAUUUGACUAUCACGCGUCCCGAUAUUGCUCAUGUUGUAAACUCCGUAAAUCAAUUUCUGCACUCUCCGACUGAAGACCACUUUCUUGCUAUCAAGCGCAUUCUUCGCUAUGUUAAGAGCACACUGCAUUUUGGCCUCACUCUCCAUCCAUCUGCUGCUCUUGGUGCUUUAGUUGCUUACUUUGAUGUUGACUGGGCCGGAUGUCUUGAUACUCGUCGCUCUACCUCUGGUUAUUCUAUUUACCUUAGCGAUAACUUGGUUUCCUGGAGUGCCAAAAAGCAACCUACUGUUUCUUAUUCCAGUUGUGAGUCUGAGUAUCAUGCUCUUACUCUCACUAUCGCUGAACUUCUUUGGCUCAUGCAUCUUCUUCGAGACCUUAGAAUUUCCCUUCCACAACAACCUCUUCUCCUAUGUGACAACAAAAGUGCAAUUUUUUUUUAGCUCCAACCCCGUUUCUCACAAACGGGCCAAGCAUGUUGAGUUAGAUUACCACUUUCUUCAUGAACUUGUUGUUGCUGGCAAACUUCGCACUCAAUACAUGCCCUCUCACUUACAGGUUGCUGAUAUCUUCACCAAAAGUGUACCUCGACCUCUUUUUUAAUUUUUUCGCACCAAGCUCCACAUCUAUUCCAAUUCAACGCUCAGCUUGCGGGGGGGUGUUGAGGAUCCUUUGCCUUAAUCUAAGGCCUUCCAUAUGUGCAUCCAUUGACCCUCAAUCAUAGGAGCUUGUUUAGCUAAUUCUUUCCAUUUAUUUUAUAGUCAAUCUUUGUGUAAUUAAGUCAUUAUACAAUUUGUAAAUGAUUAUAUAUAUGAAAGACUCUCACCAUAAAAAGGUGUGGUGGUUUUCAAACAUUCUCACAUAGGAGUUCAUGGUUGUAAGUGUUGAAAUCCAAAAAAGAGAAAAAGAAAGAAAAGAAAAUCCAAGAUUUCUCAUUAUAAAUUAUUUUUUUCUCUUUGAAUCUUUUUUAGAUUUCAACGUGGUAUUAGAGCUUGGUUUGGUGGAGGUUGUGGGUUCGAACCACCUCUCCACAUAUUUAGUGAGACUUUUGAUUUGUGAUUUCAUGAAAGAGAGUUUAAUAUCAUAUACUAUUUUCGUAUCUAUUUGAUUGUGAGAUAUCGUAAUAGGUGAUCGCAUUGUUCUUUUCUUGUUUAAUCCUAGUAUUUGAUUUUAUAUUUAUUUGUUGAAUAUGAAUCCAAAUUCUGUUUGUCUAUGUUUGUUGGAUAUGAGUUCAAAUUUUAUCUAUUUUUAUUUGUUGGAUAUGAAUUCAAAUUCUAUAUAUCUUUAUUUGUUGGAUAUGAAUCUAAAAUUCCAUUUUUAUCUGUUGGAUAUGAAUUCAAAUUACGCCUAUAUUUCAUCCUUCUAUGGUUUUGCGUUUGUUUCCGUCUCUUUUCUUUAAUCUAUCCUUCCUUAAUAGUUUUGUGUCUUCUUCUUUUUCUUCUUCUUCUCUAUUUCCUUAAUAGUUUUAUGGUUUCUACUACUUCUCCUUCUUUGGGCAUAUACCAUUUUUAUUCAUGUUGAGUCUUAUAAUGUCUCUAAGUCUGAAUUUGUUCAUAUUGAUCAUUUUUUUUAUGAUAUAGAUAGUUUUCAUGCAUGUUCUGGUACUUUGGUUAUUUAUUUUUAUGCUCUUUCCUCUCCUCUUACAAUUACUAUUAGAAGUUAUUCUUGAUCCUCUUUGACAAUAUGCUAUGACUGAUGAACUUUUUGCUUUGUAUAAGACUGUUACUUGAUAUUUGGUACUUUAAUUAAGCGGUGGUACAAAGCUUGAUUGGUUGCUAAGGAAUUUUCUCAAUAAUAUGAUUGCAAAGUUGUUUACCAAGUUGACAAACUUUCAAUGCUUCUUGUAGGCGCAUCGUGAGUUAUGGGGGGAUGUUAGAAGUUAUUAAUAUAUUUAGUUACUAUAUUAGAAUUAUUUAGUUACUAAAUAUAUAAUUCUAAUAUUGUAACUAAAUUUAUUAAUAACUUCUAACAUUAACGUCCUUCCAAACUAAAAUGUAGUUCACAAUCACAAAUGAAAAUGACAAUUCAUUUGGUCAAUUAUAAUAUAUUGUUUCUACAUUGGGAGUGUGGUCUGACUGAUCAUAGGGGUGUCAUAACUUAUGCAUUGGCAUUUGAUGUGUUGAAGAAUGGUCAUUGAAUAGAUAUCUUGUAACUCAUCCAUGUAGGAAACAUACUCUUGGUUAAUAGUUUCAUCCAAGCUUAAUAGUUCCUUCCAACGAAAAUGAUUUGCAAUAUAUAAUAUUAUUAUAUAUUAAAAGGAUGUUGUUGUUAAAAAGAUUUUGUCUUUUAGUUUAUAAUCAUACUUGGAUGUGCCAAAGAUUUGAGAAGAAUAUAGAUUGUUAGUCAAUAAGGUAAUCAAUCUAUAAGCUUUCUUAACAAACUAUUAUCAUGGAGGAGAUCACCUACACAUUGUCUAACAAGUUUAGGUCUUAAUAUAAUGUUUCCUACCUUUAGAGUGCAACCAGUGAUGAAAAAAUCAAAAAAUAUCUUUGAAAUAUUGGUGAUAUUUCCAUUAUCGGAGGUGGCCGAAGCGAAUUUGACUACCAAUUAUCUAUUGGGGGAUUGUUUUGGCAAAAAAUCGAAAAUAUCAACAAUAUUUCGCUAAAAAACCGAAAUUUCAUCGAAAAGUCAAAAGUGGGAAGCACUUGUGCGUGGAGGAAAUUUUGGAGCACGUGUGCGUGGAGGAAAUUUUCCUCAAAAAAUCGUUGAUUUUACCCAAUUUUUUGGGUGAUGCCAUUUUUUUUUCCGCUAUUUUUUUCUUAUUUAAAAAAAUUAUAUAUUUUUAAUUUAUAUUAUCAUUUUAUUUUAUAUUAUCAUUUUAUUUUUAACUACUUUUCAUAUUUAUCUCAUUAAUCCUAUUUUUAAAAAUUAUUAUCACUUCACUCUUAAAUUUUUUUUAUAUUUAUUCUUUCAAUUUUAUUUAAUUUUAAACGUUUUUAUUUUAAAAUAUUAAAAAUAUAAUUUUACCCAAAAAAUUGCUACAAUAUAAAAAAUUAAGGAAGUUCUAAUAUUUUAUAAAUUAAAAUUAAUUUGAUAAGAUAAAUUAUUAAUAAUUUUAAUUUUUUUAAAUAAAUUAAUGUUAAUAAAAAAAGUUAUUACCACAUAUGUUCAAUAAAAUUUUAGAAAUUAAAUCUCAAAUAAAAUAUUUUAUAUAAAUUAAUUUAAUUUUCAUUUAAAAUGUAAUAAAACAUGUUUUAAUAAAAUUAUUUUAAAAUUUUUAAAAUAAAUGAAUAUAAAUAUAUUAAAAGAAUUUAAGCUAAUUUUUUAUUAUAAAAAUUUGAUAAAUAUUAUCUUUAAUCGUACUUAUGUCAAUUACAGUUAUAAAAUAACUUUAAUAUGUGUAUUAUUUCUUAUUUUUAUCAUUUUUUGAAAGUUUUCUAAGUAUUUCCAUUAAGUUUGAAUCAUUUAUGUUCAAUUGAUAUAUCUAUAAAAUAUAAGUAUCGAUAUAUUUGCAUUUACCAUGUUUUAAACCUUGAAUGCAACCAUGACAUUGUGGUAAAUAUGACCAUGGUUUAUCAACAUCAAUUAGAUCAUAAGGAUUGGUUGAAAUGCCAAUGUAUUUGAUAGGGAGUCAAGUAGUAGAAUGAUCAUCAAAUGCUUAUAGUGGCUUCUUAUAGAUCUUAUGCAUACUUAUCAUGGUUUUUUUAACAGAAUUUGAAAUGGAAAAAGAACCUUCAAGAUAUAUUAGGAAUAACUCAGGAUUGGGACCAAGCCAAUUAAGCACCCAAUAGGGCCACUUGAGCACCUUAGAGUACUCAAAUGAUCAUAAGGUCACAUAAGUGUUAGACGAGUUGUAACAACCCACUCGUAACCCUAUAGAUAUUUUCCAUUCUGGGCUCAAGGAGUUCUCACAACUUUAAAAUACAUAUACAUAAUUAAAAACUCAUACUUAUAUAGCGUCAAAAACUUUCUCUUUUAUCUGAUAUGGGACAUCACAAACACUCUUUCAUGCAAACACAACGUCCUCCUUGUGUCCCAAGGAUUGCGAAGUCAAAUAGACAAACGCUUCCUACAGGGCCAAACAAACCCCACAUCAAGGUCGGAGAUUGGCUCUAAUAUCAUUUGUAACGACCCACAUCCAAUAGUGUAAAUAUUUUCCGCUUUGAGCCUAAGGGGCCCUCACGGCUUUAAAACUCUUCUACAUAAUUAAGAGGAGUUCAUACUUAUAUAGCAUCAUAAAUUUUCUCUCCUAUUUGAUGUGGGAUGUCACACAAGUUUUUUAGGUUCAUAUCAUCUCCAAAAACUCCUUUCAUUAUAAUCUUUAUUGGAUACUUAGAUGAGUCUUGAAUUAUACUUUAUACAUGAGAAAAUUUAGUCACAAAUUAAUUAAUUAACUAAUUACUUGUGCAAAGAUCAAGUCAAUUAUUGACAUAUUACAUAAAGCAAGCUUCAGUUUGCCAAUGAAUUUGACUUUAGAAUAUUUAAUAUGUUAUUCUUAUAUAAAAAGUAUAUUAAAUACAAAAUUUUAAGUAUUCUAGUAGGUUUUCAAAUCUUGUCAUAUGGAUAUUUCAAAAUCCUUAUUUAUAAUAAGGAAAUAUUUUAAAAUAAUGAUAAGACUAGGAAAGAUACCUAAGUAACAUGAAAGAUUAAUUUUAAAGAAGAAUUCUCUAUUACUCUACCCUCAUCAAGUGGUCUUAGAGUCAUCUUAUAGUCGAACAAUAAUCCGAAAAAUCUUAGGCUCUAUCUAGUUCCUUAAGUAUUGUUCCUCUAUGAUUUUAAAGUUGUUCCAUGUUUUUUUUUCAAGUAUCAAUGUAAGAUUCUUUUCUAAGAGCAUAGGAAAAAAAGGUUCGCACGAGAUAAUCCAACCUAGAAAUACGUCCAAUGGUAAUAGCGGUGGUGGUGGUUAGGGGUGAUUUGAAUUGGGAAUUGGUCUAUAAUCCCCAAAAUAAGUUUUUCAAACAUUUUUAUGCCCUAACUUGAGAUAUUUUUGUCGUAUCUAAUUAGGAAAACUUACUUUUAAAAUUUUAAAAAUUUUAAUAAUUAUUUAUAAAAGAAUUCUAAACGAAAAUUCUUAAGAUGCUUGAAUUAUGACUAAUUCAUGAACUUUGUAAUGUUGUCGUUGUGCUCUAAUUUUAAACACAAAAUAUACUUAUUUGAGCUUCAAAUUUUAUAUAUUCAACUAAAAUAUAUUAGCAUAAGAUCCAUGAUAAUAAAGAGAAAUAUUUAGAACAUAAUGUAAUACAUUAACACUCAUAUACUUGGCAUGUUGUUACUUGUUACGCACCACAAACAAUAUUGGAUAUAAAGGAAAAAUGUUUUCAUAGGGAACAACAACUUCAUCAUCUUAGUUUUGGAUUAAGUAUGAAACAUGUUACUUUAUAUAAAUAUUAUUUUAAAAAUAUUACUAAUAUAAUAUUGUGGACCCCGUAUUUCGCUCAAUGCGUUUCCACUCGAUGGCGAAACUCGCUUUUUUAUUUGUUUAGUGAAAAUUUGAUUUUUAGAAAAGAUUUGGAGUCGCCACUUAUUUUUGUUUUAUUUUUAAAGGAAAAACAAAAUAAGAAAGAAAAACCCUAAGUGUGACUCCUUAUUUGGAAAAGCGGGUUUUUGAAAAAUCAAGUCUGGAUUCGGGGGUCAGGUUACUUAUUGGGAGGGUACAAUAAAGACCGUAGCACCUCUCUAAACCCUUUAAAAUGGGUCUCUACUAAAUAAGUUGAAGCAAGCAUGGCAAUUGACCAGGAGAUCAAUGGAUACCAAAGUGAUCAUAGAUCAAAAGUAAGUCAUGAUAAUAGAUAAAUGAACAAAGUGAGAGUGAGAGCAUACCUUGGCAGCAUAUAAUAAAGCGCUAUCAUGAAACAGAGUUAGUGCGCAAUAACGAAUACAAAACAUAUUACAUGCAUAUCAAAGUGCAAGACAAAGAUCAGGCAAUACUCAUUAAGCAUAACAAUUGACAAUCGGAAGAGAAAACUCAUAUGUAGGGCCCCCACCAAAGCCUAAUUGAUCUUUGCAUGAAUUAAUUCCACAAAUUCCAUUAUUUUGGAAUUAUGAAAAUUGUCUUCAUGCAUAUUAAAAAUCAAGGAAAACGAAAAAAAAUAUAUUUUAAAAUCGAAGAAAAUUUGAGAAAAUUGUUUACCUAAAAGGAAAUGUAGCAAAUUUAUUUAUAAAAAAAAAAAUAGCAACUUAAAACUCUGAUAAAGGAUGAAAAGUGGUAGAAUUAAAAAAUAUUUGAAAAUUGGAGUGAAAUUAAAAUUAUUUGAAACAAAACUAAAGUUUUGAAAUUUAUUCAAAAAUUGAAAGCUCGAAAAGUAUUUGAAGAUUAGCGUUUUGAAAAUUAAAUUUAAGAAUUGGAAUUUUGGGAAUUAAAUUUGAAAGAAAUUGAAAUUUUGAAGAUUAUUUGAGGAUUGGAGUUUUGAAAAUUAAGUUUAAGAAUUAGAAUUUUGGAAAUUAAAUUUGAAAGAAAUUGGAAUUUUGAAAAUUAUUUGAGAAUUGGAGUUUCGAAAAUUAAAUCAUGAAUUGGUGUUUUGGAAAUUAUUUGAAGAUGGAAUUUUAAUAAAUAAAUAAAUAAAAUAAUAAAAAAAUGUGAAAAUUGGAAUUUUGGAAAUUGGAAAUUAAAUUAGGAAAUUAGAAUUUUGAAGAAUUAUUUAAAGAUGGAAUUUUUAAAAAUAAAUAAAUAAAUAGAAUAAUAAUAAUAAUAACGAAAAUGAUAAUGAUUAAAUAAAUAAAUGUGAAAAUUGAAAUUUUGAAAAUUGGAAAUCAAAUUUGGAAAUUGGAGUUUUGAAGAAUUAUUUAAAGAUGAAUUUUAAAAAUAAAAUAAUAAUAACAAAAAUAAUAAUGACUAAAUAAAUAAAUGUGAAAAUUGGAAUUUUGGAAAUUGAAAAUUAAAUUAGGAAAUUAGAAUUUUGAAGAAUUAUUUAAAGAUGGAAUUUUUAAAAUAAAUAAAUAAAUAAAUAGAAUAAUAAUAAUAAUAAUGAAAAUAAUAAUGAUUAAAUAAAUAAAUGUGAAAAUUGGAAUUUUGAAAAUUGGGAAUCAAAUUUGGAAAUCGGAAUUUUGAAGAAUUAUUUAAAGAUGAAAUUUUAAAAAUAAAUAAAUAAAUAAAAUAAUAAUAACGAAAAUAAUAAUGAUUAAAUAUAUAAAUGUGAAAAUUGAAAUUUUGGAAAUUAGAAAUUAAAAUUGGAAAUCGAAAUUUUGAGGAACUUAUUUGAGAGUGGAAACUUGGAAAUUACAGUCAAGAAUUGGAAUUUUGAAAAACUAAAAAAAAAACAGAGUUUUUUUUUAUAAAAAAAAAAUAUUUGAAAACUGAAUCUUUGAGAAUUUUAAUUUUGACAUGUGGGAUAAAAAAAUAAAAAGGAUGGGACAUGACCAUUGCAUGCCAAAGGUGGCCAUGCAUGGGGCCUGCCCUAACAACUUUUUCCUUGGAAAACCCCACUUAGAAACCAAUUUAUAAAAUUGCAUGCUAUGUUGACCUAGGAUUACAACAUAUUGAUUGCUUGGAAAUGAACUAUUGCAGAUGGAUUUUUGCCGCAUUGCCCGAACCUUAGUUUGCAACAUAAAAACCCAUAAACCUCCACCAUUCCAUAUCCCACCGAAUGUACAUUUCAUGUGAGUACAUGUUGAUUAACUUUGAGAGCCCUAGAAGCCAUCUUCCUGCACCUUUCCAUGUUUGAGCUGCCUGGGGUGAGCUGAUGCUUCAUAAGUCACUCCUCCAUAUGUGCAAGUCCCAUGAAAAUCACCCAACAUAUGCUUGAAUCUGGUUUUGUCUGCACAAAGGGCUCGAGAUCUUUUCCAACGUGGAUGAGAUUCAAGUCGCUACCGAAGCCGAAAAUGUGAACACGGUUGCCAGAAUUGCCCGCAUCGAAAAUGACUGCAUAGGUCUUGGAUUGGGAGAGAGGACAGGAAGAAUAGGGCAAAGUACUGGUAGUGCUGAAGAACCGAAGCUGAGUGGCAUCCAGGGAGUGGUCAAAGUGACUAGUUUUUGGUAAGUACAAAGGAUGAGUUGGCGGGUAGAACAUGAAGGAUGUUUGGCAUGGGAUUUGGGUUUUCGGUGGAGAAUGAACUUUAUGGGAAUGCUAGGGAAUCAUGCGCAUGAACUGCAUACACGUGGGAGAAUAGAAAUUGAAUGAGUGGGGAAUAAAUGGAAUGAGUGAUGGAAGAAAUGGGUUUAUAGGGAUAGGUGUUGAAUGGAGCUAUGGGUAGUGAGAGAAAUGUGUAUGAUGGGUGGGAGGUGUGAGAGAAAUAAGUCUAAUGGGUAUUUGAAAAAUGGAAAUGCAUGAGGGUAUGGAGGAUGGCCAUGUAUACAUGCUUCCUAUGCAUGUGGGUAGGUAAGGAUUUGGGAUUUUAAUGGAAGCUUUGGAGGGAGUUUGGGUGGCCAUGCAUGGUGUAGGGAAUGGGUAGCGAAGGAAGUGGGUUUACAGGGUAUUGAAGGAAAUGGGUUUGGCGGUUGAAUGGAAAGUGGAGAUGUGGAGCGUGGUGACGGAUAUGAUGAUGGGGAUGAUGGAGUGUGAAAGUUAAAAGAUGGAAAUGUGGGUAUGAAUAUUGAAAGAUGGAGAUAUGGGUAUGGCGGGUUUGGGAAGAUGUGAAGGAUGAUGAGAGAUAAAUUGUGGGUGAAGAGUAUGAAGAAUGGAGAGAUGAAGGUGGCUUCAACAGGAAAUGCAUUUUUGUUACUGAAAUGGCAUUCACCUUCUGGAUAUAAGUGGCUCCAAUCACGAGAACCAAAAGGAACCACCAACAAAGUGAGCAGUGAAGUUUCCCAACAAUACCCAACGGAGUGGUGUGUAUAUCAGCAACAGAAAGCAUGCAAACCAGAAACCCAUAAAGCCACCAUGCAUCUCCUAUUAUUCAUAACCAAAUCUCGAGGAGCACUUUUGAUUUUGUUCCUCCUCUGUUUGCUUGUUCCCCUUGCCUCUCUAUAAAACUCACAACCCACAAUCUCAUUCUGCCCAACUCACUUUAAUCUUUUAGAAAGAAUGCUCAUCUUCCAUUACAAGCUAGAAACAGGGGAAAUAGCAAGAACAGAGCACCAAAAGUAGGAAUAAAAUAAACCCAUACAAGCCACAUUUCAUGUUUCAAUCAACGAGCUUAGAUGUAGGGGGUGGGCCAAAAUAGAUCUCAAAUGAAUUUUAAAAAAAUAAAUAAAUAAGGAACAAGUUAUGAAUGCCAAUAUCUCAUAUAAAAUCUCAAAAAUAGAGGCUAGAAAAUAGGAUAAAAAUCAAGCAUAAGGUGAGUGCAAGCAAGCUCAGAUUCCAUAAAAAUAAACAAGAGUCCCCGAUAAGCACAUUCAAACAUCAAAAUAGAAUCUCAUAAUACCUAGGAAACACAAUAAAAUGGCAUGAACAUGAAAAAAUCAACAGCUUAUCGAAAUAAUACCUAUGUCACCCUCUUUCAAGACAAUUCCUCUGUGUGUUUCCUCCUUUCUCUGACCAGCCUACGCUCUCCUUUCCAAGAAAAAUCCAACUGAUUUCCCUUUGCCCAAGCAAUCUCACUCCUCUGGUGACCAUACUGCAGCUCCCUCUCCUUGCUAAAAAAAAAAGUCUUGCAACUCUCUAUAUCUUUCUUGUUCUCUCUCACUCCCGUUUUCCCUCAAGUUCCCUUGUUCCUUUCAAAUAGCUCACCUCUUCUUUUCCUCAAACUGUCUCUAAUUUUUUUUUUUGACACUAGUCAACAACUGCUUCCUAAAAUCUCUCGUCUCUCAACUCUUUUUUUUUCGUAAUCCUUCAGACCUCCUAUAUUUUUCUCUCCAACUCUCCAAAAAUCUCCACUUCCCUUUAUAUUUUCUUUUGAGUAAAAAAAAAAAAAAAAUACACCUCACCUACCCCUCUCUCAAACUCCCUCACGUCUCAAUCCCCCUAAAUCAGCCAACCCACCCAACUUUCUUUUCAUGCAAGCCUCUACCAGCUCCCUGCUCAAAUCAAAUCAUCAUUUGAAGCUUCAACCACCACCAUGGUGAGGUGGUCACAUCCAAGGCAAUGUGUCCCAUGUAGCUGAGCAUGGAAGCCGUCCCCCACUUCUCGAAAAAAAUAAAAAUAUUAGCUCCUCCUGGGUAUUCCUCAAAGGUGGUGGGAAAAGCUAAAAUAAAAAAGGGGGUUUACAAAUAUAUAGUUAAAAAAAUUCAUGAUACCAUUUGUAAUAGUCUGCUCAUAACCAUAUAAAUAUCCAAUGGACACUCAUAGCUUUAAAACACAUCUAUAUAGUUAAAAAAAAAUUUAUACAUGUAUAGUCGUAAAAGUAAUUUUCCCUAUUCAAUGUGGGAUAUAAGGAAAUAGUUACAUAAACAAGUUAGACUAGGCUGAGGUCAAUCAUCACUAGCUAAGCUAAGACAAGCCUUUGUUCCGUGCUAGAGAUUGGGUUCAAAGUACUAUCUAAAAUUUUAAAAUUUUUUCAAAUGACUUUUAAAGACCUAAUGUAAAUUUAUACAUUUGGUAUAAGAUAUUUUAUUUUUUAUAUGAAAUUUACUAAUAUAUUUCAAUUUUAAAAAUAAAAAAUUUAAAAUAGAAAAAAAAAAAAAGAGUUGAGAAUAUGUGGAUAAUUAUUUUGUGUUUCCAUUUUCUUGAAAAAUGAGUUCAAAAAUGGAAAAAAAAAAAUGAAAACACCAAUAUAUUAUUUUCAAAUUUUUCUUAAAAGAAAAUGGAAAUAGUUUUUAAAAAGAAAAAAAAAAUGAAUAAAAUAAUUUAAAACACCAAUAGUAUUUCAAUAUUAUACUCUUUUUCCUUUUUUUAUAAAUAAUAUUACAUCUUCUAUUUUUGAAAGUAAUUUAUUUUAAUAAAACAAAAUAUGUGCAAUUUAUCAAUUCUUUUGUUAACUAUAAUACAUUAAAAUAUUAAAAUCUUCCAUUACACCCCUAAAACAAAAUUUUCUAUUACACUAUUAAAAUAACUAAUAAGGUAAAUAAAGUAAUAAUAAUAAUAAUAAACAAAUACAAUUUAAUUAUUUAAUUAUUUUUCAUGUAAAAAAAAUUAGUAUCAAACAAGAGAUAUAAUUGGUCAAUUCCUUUGUUGAUAAUAAACUCAUUAUAAUUUUUUAUUGUACUAUUAAUAACUAAUAAAAAAAAAAAAGUAGUCAACAAAUGCAAUUUGAUUAUUUUUACUAUUUUUCAUGUAAAAAAAAUUAAAACCAAAUAAGUUUCCCUUUUCACUUUUUUUUAACCAAAUGUAUUUUCAAGAAAAGAAAACAUAGAAAAUGGAAACCAUUUUCAAAAAAUGAAAGCUAAAAAUCGUUUUCCAAACCAAAUCCAACCUAGGGGCAUUUUUUUUUACCUUCCAUGACCAAGCCCUUAACUCCAAGGGACCCAAACCUCAUGGUGUUGAUCAUCCCACAACAACCAAUAUCGAAUAAAUUCAAGAUAUCUUCACUAGCAAAAUUCAAACCCAAUACCAUAUGUCACUUACUGAAACCGCACUUCCCAAUGUUCGCUUUGACCAACUAGACUACCUUAAUAGAUCAACCUAAGAACUUGUAUGGUAACUGUUUUUAAAAACAAUUAUGAACAACAGUUUUUAAAAACUGUUUUAUGAUGUUCUAUAGAACAAAAUCCUGUUUAGAAGCUAAAAUGUUUUUAACCUAUUUUUAAUAUUUUAAAAAUAAUUUUUAUGUCUAGUAUUUUAUUUUUAAUCAUUUUACAUAUUUAUAUAAUUAUUUUUUAAAUCAACUCUUAGAAAACAAGUUAAAAUAGCAUAAAACAAUUUAAAUAUAUUCCCUAAAAACACCAUGUUUUUUUAUUCUUAAGAACAAAAAAUAAAAAACAACUUUUGAUUGUCAAACAUGCUUUCCUAAUUUUUUUUGUUUUGAAGAACUAAAAACUAUUCGCCAAACAGACCCAAAAUUUUCCACUUUUUACCAAGUUCAAUGUCAUCCCAUUCCUAAUAUUUGUGAAUUUUUUAGGGUCUCAAUAACCAGGUCGGGCCUUGACCCAAAAUUUUGAAAGAGACUCGGGCUGGGCUUCAGCCCAAAUGCACAAAACAAGAAACGCUUACAAGAAAAAUCCUUGAACAUACAUCUCGAAGCUCUAUUCUUCAAAAUAGAAAGUGGAAACUCAUCCAAACAUCUAAACCGAUUAGUCACGGAAGGAAAAGAAAAGUAAUAGGUCUUUUAUUUCGUUGCCACUGUGGAUAAUUAUUAGGAUGACACCCUUGUCAUUCCAUUUUCAAUUUUCCUUCAUAUGCGCUGGUGGGUCUGGCUGUAAAUCAUUAGAAAAUACCCAACACCUAUAAUCAUUAUUACACACUAUUAACAUAUAAGGGGGCUGUUGGUCCAGAUUUACCCCAAGGGCCACACACACAAAUAAGAGAAAGGGGAAGCGCAAGUAGGGAAAUAGGUUUAUUCACAAGAGUAGUGUUAUUAACCUCUUAUCAAAUUUUACAGCUCUGGCUCCGGCUCCGGCUCCGGCUCCGGCUCCAAUCUCAUUUCAACGUCAUCUGAUUGCUCCCAUCAUAUUUGCACCAUUGAGCUUUGCGCCUUCCAUAGAUUGCUAGCAACAAAAUCACACAAAUUACACCUCCAACUCCAGUUAGUUACCUACUAUCAUCAUCCUCACAAUGGAAACAUAGAUUUAGAGCCUCUUUGGAAAUUAUUCUUCAAAACAUAUGCGUGUUCUGUGGAACAUAAAACAGUUUUCUCACUUAAAAUAUUACAAAUCCCUCAAAGAAAACAGUGUCGUAAGAAUUUGAUCCGAAAAUAAGUUAGUUUUCUCACUUUAGUCAUUCUUUCUUCAAUUUUAAGAAAGGAAAUGCAAUAAAGGCACAUGUAAAAAUUGUUGAAUUGGCUCAUAUAUCGGACAGAACUGGUAAGCUUGAUCUAAAGGGAAAACUGAGGAAAAAAAUGACAGUAAGUAAAGAAAAUAAAUUAUUCUACUAUUAAAGCAAAGAAAAAAUGGUUUAAAAGCACAAGAAAUGAUUCAUAAUUUUCCCAAAGGAUCCAUAAUGAGAAAAAGAAUGACGGAUCAUGCUAACAAUGCAUUCAUCAUUUCAGCCUAAUUAAGAGACGCAAAGAAGAUAACCAAAGAAGACGAGAAAUUAGCAAUGGCCUGGUUUGAAAGAUUUAUAAGAUCCAUUCCAAAGAUGGGAUAUCUCCAGUGUCAAAAUGAUCACAUAGUGUUUUAAAUACUGAAAGAGGUAUGAUCACAAUUCUUAUUAUCAAUGUAGAUGAUGUCAUUGUAACCGGGAAGAUUUCACUAAAAUAGGAAGACUAAAGGGAUCUAUUGCUAAAGAAUUUAAUAUUAUAGAGUUGGGGGAAUCUGAGAUAUUUUCUUGAUAUAGAGGUUGCAAGGUCAAACCAUAGGAUCUUUCUGUUACAAAGAAAGUAUGUUAUGGACCUAAAAAAGGAGACUAGUAUGUUGGAAUGAGACCAGGGGACACACCCUAUCACAAAUCACAACACACCAAUCAAACAAGGAGAGCUAUCAGAGAUUGGUAGGCAAGUUGACCUAUCUAUCACAAUAGAGGUUUCAAACCUGAUUUAUUCUUAUUCCUCUUUUUGAGCCUCUACUACCAUAGCUUUUAAGGAUACUCCUCUUAGUGUUCUACAACUUGAUUGAAACUUAGUAUAUAGAUCGAAAUAUUACAAAGGAAUUGCGGACUCCACCUUUGGUGGGAUCAUUUAAGUUAAAUUUUGAUGGAUGUGUUUUGGGUAAAACAGGUCUGAAGUGGAAGGAUGAUCAGAGACCCUAGUGGUUCAGUAGUGAGAGCAUUCUCAAAACCAGCUGGAGAAGAAUUUAGCAUCAAGAUAGAGAUUUUAGUUCUUUUAGAGGGUUUGGUACAUGAUAGGGCUCUUUGUCUUGUCUUUCGAACUUACAGGUGGAAGGGGAUUAUUCUAUUUUGAUAUCUUGGGUGUCUAAAUCAUAUUGGGGGCUUGGAGGUAUGAUGGAUGGCUUAAUCGAAUUCUAGGUGUUGCUCAUGACUUGGGUAAGUUCUUUCUCUGGGAAUCUUCAUUCACCUAAUAAUGUUGCCUAUCUUUCGGCAAAGACAGGAGCCAAGCAUUGGGCAUCUUUUUUAGGAGACUUUUUACCUCCUUGGGAAGUGUACAGUUGCUCUAACUUCUACAAGUUCAUGUCAUAUUCUUGUGAAGUAUAGUUGUACUCUUAUUUCUUUUCAGAAGUUCACUCUAUUUCCUUCUUUGAUCAGCCUUGUAUAUUUUCGAAGGAUUUCCCAUCAUUCAUUUGUACUCAAAAAUUCAGAUCAAUGAACUAGUUUGUUUCUGAUCAAAUAUAAAAAAGAAUAAUAAUUUUAUUAUAUGGAACAUUAUGAAUUCUUCUUUUUUUCCUUUCUUUCUUUUUUCAAUCAAUGCAUCUUUCAGCAUUUGACAAAGUUCCAUUUAAUCAUUUUUCCAGAAACUUUCAAAGACAAUUAUUUUUUGUCAACUUGCAGCCAUCAACAUCAACAUACCCAUCUUCCGGUCAAUUUUAGGAUCCUGACAUAUCCAUCAAUGCUUUUCUGGUGGACAACUAAUUCAUAAUGGAAGACACAGGAUACCAAGAGGAACCAGAAAAAGGCCACAAUAUAUAUACAUAUAUAACAAGGGGCAGCAAGGAUGAUUUUCAUGAUUUGGUCACUCGCAAGGGAUAAGGAUGAAAGCACUGAGCUAAGUGGCACAUGUAUUACGUCCUAAACUGAUGGAAUUUAACGGAAAUGAUUUAAACCCUCACUAAGUAAUGGAUUUACAGUCCUAGCGGAUUCAAAUAUCCUAAUGAUAAUAGGAGGACCCACAAAAAGAACUCACUCAAACAGGAUGAAACUCCUUAAAGAGGAUUUAUGCACUUUCAACUUAUAGAUCUCAAAGACAUUGAAGGAGCAUAUAAAGUGUAGAUACCUGAUCCCUGGACGACUAUUUAUGCACUUUCAACUCAUUAAUCUUAAAGGCAUUAUAGGAGCAUAUCUGAUGCUAGAACAAAUAGGGAGGACAUUUUUCCAUCUUCAGGCAUGUAAAAUAUUGAAAGGAUAACAGCAUUAAGAUAAAAAUUCUUAAACUUAAUAUGCAUCUGUUUUACUUACUGCAUCACGAAGAUUGACCUGCCGUAGGUAAGCUCGUUGAAGGUUUGCACCCUUCAAAUUGGCCUUACUCAACUUUGCACCCUGAAAAACAUACAAGUGUUCCAAAAAAGUAAGCUUACGUUGCAAUAAACCCAAAGAAAUCAAUUUUAACCUUGAUCGCACCAAUUUUUUUUUUUUUUUUUUGAUAGACUUGAUCACACCAAAUAUAAUUGUACACAAAACAAAAGAAUAAAUUAAAAUAGGAUUAAUAAAUGGGAAUGCUACAUUUUCUUUAAUUAACCCUCUUAUCUUCUGUUAAAUGUCUCAAAGGCCUACAUGAGGUCAGCCAAACAGCUACACAUCUAAUCAAUCAAAACUUCUAAAAUUAUUGCCUAAAAAACCCCAUUUUGAUCUUUCCAUCCAAGUUCUUCCCCACUUUGAUUUCCUUCUUAGCAUUUGACUGUUCUUUCUGUCUCUAACUAUUUUCAUUACUUAUCACAUCAAAUCAAACCAUCAGGACUAAUGCAUCUAUCCAGUAUAUUCCCCACUCGAAAAGGGCAAAAGUGGAAGGCCUAGCCAGUCAUAACUGUCUGGUCUCCAUAAGCGCCAUGUUUUUCACAGGAAACACGUGCACACACAAAAUACACACUCAUUAAUCUUCUUUGUCCAAGUUUUUUCUUCCAGUAGCCCUUGGAUGUUCUUGCUACAUUCAGAACUCAAACGCACACACAGAACAGAAAUUUUGAUUCCUUCCAUUCUCUUUUCCUUUCAAGUCAAUAAUAAUAUAGAUAAAUAAAUAAAUAAAGAUGAGGAAGAAGAAGAAGAAAAAAGAAAGGAUUAAAAAAAAACCCCACCAGCCACUAGUUUUGUUGCAAUGACCAAAAAGGACAUUCUUUUGAUAACCAAAUCUUUUCUCCAUUCACUUUUCUCUUAAGUUUGCUUACACCACCACUUCCAGGAGAGAGAGAUGAGCUUGUGAUUGCAAACCCUCCCAACACCCCUAUUCCUGCUCACCUCAAAUAUAUCUUACUUUGGGUUACAAACUAGAAGGGCUUCAUUCUUGCAAUAUCAUAGAUUCUAGAUAGUAAUAUAAUUCCUUUUGUUCUUCAUCUUAAAUGUAUCAUGCUUGAUUGUCUGUCUUGCUUCCAAUUUUUUGCUUCCCAAUGCAAUUGAGCCCUUUUUCACCUCAAGUUAAAACAAAGAAAAAUAUAAAGAGAUGAAAACUUAGCCAAAGAAAAAUAUAAAACUCUUUUUUGCUUGUGGCUAAUAAGGGGUUUAAUACCAAUGUCAUAUAGAAAUCAAAUGUUUCACCUUAAGUUAGAGCCUUCUCUUGACUAAUAGCUAAUAUGAGGGUCAACACAACUUUGUCACAAUGGAACUCUUAGACUUGAGUGGUGUGAUAUGUGUUUGGGCAAGUAUUGGAUAGUAGGACACCCAUUCUUUCAUUGCCCAGUAGCAAGGGGGUUAUGGGAUUAGACCAUUCAGACUUGCUAUGAUGGGGGAAAGCCUUUUAAAGUUUAUUCAAGGAAGAAAGGGAAGACCUAAGUAAACUUUAAGUAGGAUUAAUAUUAAUUAGAAUUGAAUUGGGAUUGGUAUUUGUUGGAGUCUAAUUAGGAUUAGUUAGUUGAGUUAUAAUACAAUUAGAAUUUGAGUCAUGAUAGGUUAUUAGAGUCCUAGUAGACUUUGGGUUUCUUAGAGAAGCCUAUAAAUAGGCUAAUCAAUGUAAAUCAAAGGGAUAAUUUGAUAUGAAUAAUAUUAUAUUUUCUUUCAUUGCAAGGUUGUAACCCUCAAUGGUGAGAUUCCAUUGAUUUCUUCUAGGUGAGACUCCUAGAAGGCCUUAGUGAGACUCUUAAGGUUUUCCAUCUUUUCUUCAUUGUUUCUUCUUUUCUCUCUAUUUCUUAUCUUAUAAUUUUCUCUACCAUAAAAUUUAUUCCUUGUUCCUCUCCUUAUGCCCUAAAAAUAAAACCCUAGUCCACCUACCCUUGAGUGUAGGCAACCAUCCUAGGUUUGUCCUACAUCAUGCUAGCAUGGAUUGGGUACCUCCUACAGAGCCUGCUGAUAUGUUGGAUAUUGUUUUCCACAGGUUUGGAGACAACCUUAGUAGUAGGGUACUUUACUGUGGUUGCACUUGCUUUAGCUUGGGUGAUCUGGAUAGAAAGGAGUGCCAAGAUUUUCAAGAAUAGAUGGAGGAUUAUGGAGUCAGUUUGGGAUGCAGUGUUUAUCUUUUCUUAUCUAUGGGUGUUCAUUUUGUUAGAGUUCUUAAUGAAUCGUGCCAAGUGGAAUUUUGAUGCAUUGAAGAGUUUCUAGUUGUAAAAGAAAUACAAUAGUACAAUUCUAAGUGGUUUCCUCUUCUGAUGAGUUGCCUGAACUUUGACUUUGAUGGUUUUCACUAGGUAAUCUAAUAUAAAUAAGCAUCAUAACAGUUUUCCAUGAUCUUGAGGGAGGAGUGGUUAUAGUUUUUCCUAAGCCAAAUGGGGUAGGGCUGCACUAGAGGCUGGAUUACUAAUCGUACUAGGAGGAUUGACACAAGCAGAUAUUUUGGUCCUCAACAGCUUCUUGGUGGGAGGCAAUUCAGCAACAGUUAUAUCCUGAGUUCUAAGUGAAAGAGGUCCAUGGAAGUUGAAUCAUUGUCGUGCAAGAUAUCAUAUAAAUUCAGGAGUCAGGGUGUUCUUUUUAGUUGAUUCUAUGCCUAGACAACCAUCCAUGGCUCAAAGUCAUAGUAUCUUGGUUGUUCACUCAACAAUUUUUAAUAAUUGAUGUAUCUUGAAAAUAAAAGAUGAAAAUAAUAAAUAAAAAAAUGUGAUUAAUAAAAAGUCAAUAAUUGUUUGAAAAUAAAUCAUUUUGAAUUUCUUGUUCGUACUCAUGCACUGAGGCAUUUUUAACUUAAUUGAUGAAUGGAAUCUCUCUCGUUUUCAUGGGAUCCAGGUCUUAGUGUUCCAACUCCAUGUCAUCUCAUGAGUUAGCCAAGUGAUUUAUAAUAGGUAAAGAUAGGUAUGUAUAAAUUAAUAGUAUAAAAAAAUACAUAAAAAUACAUGGAUCACCUAAAAGAGAGGCCUCGAAAGAGGAGUCACAAAAACCCACCCUAACUCUCUACAAGAACCCACCCAAUCUAAAAAUCAAUCAAAAGCCUUCUCUUAUGUACAUGCUAACCCAAGAUGAAAUAUUACAAAGGAAUGAAUGUUUUAACUUUUGAUCAGUCUAUUCCUUAUUUUCAGAAGCUCUUCGAUUUCAUUCCUGACAAAUUGUCCAAAAAAGGCGAAGAGGAACAGCUCUCCACACUUGCUCUCCACACUAUCUUGCUUUUCUUCCCUACAAAGGAGUCAUUCCAACUUAACAAGGUAUCUUUCACCGAAGAAGGGAUCACCCAAACUACAUUGAAUAAUGGGAACAACAAUUGCCAUAGAAUCCUUACUUUGGUACAGUGAAGUAGAAUAUAAUUAACAGACUCCCCCACAAGUUCACAAAAAUAAUAUUUAUUCAUUCAUAGUCAUCUUCUUUUCUGGAGCUAAUAUGAAGUCAGAACUUUUCCCUAACUAGCUUCCCAAGAAAAAAAACUCACUUUGGAUGAGACCAACAGAAUUCAAAUAAUGUUCAUUGGAAAGGAGAUUGACCUCCCAAGUUCCAAGAUCGAAUAGAAAGAUUUGACUAAAACUAAAAGCAAGCCCUUUUUAGUAUCCUUCUAUAUCACCCUACCAUUUUCUUCUUUCCUAACCGACUUCACUAGCAAUGUUGAGAAAAAGUUUGGACAGCAUCAACUCCCAAUUGUUAAAGUACCUAGAAAAGCACAUAUUCCAAUUAGCCCCUGCUCCUAAAUCUUUCCAUAAAUUCACCACACAAGCCUCCUUUGACAAAGCCAAUGCAUACAAGGAGGUAACACACCACUUAUCCUUCCAAAGCUUAACCCCCAACCAUUACCCACUUUAGAGAAGGUUCUCCUAAAGAAAAGAUCCCACCCAUUCCUUAAAGCUGUCCAAACACCAACCCUGUAACCGUAUCACACUUCACAAGAGUGUCAACCAGCUUCUUCCUUCCCAUAUCUCCCCUCUAUAAUCUACUUCCAAAAAACUUCCCCAUUCAGAAACAUAUCUCCAACCCCACUCACCGAGGAGGACCCGAUUCACAAAAGAGAGACUUCUAAUACCUAAACCCCCUUUACUCCUAUAUGAGGAAACAACCGACCAACCAACCAAUCCAGGAUUUUUGUUCGAAGUCUCACCUCCUCAAAGAAAAUCCCUUUGAAUCUUAUCUAACCUUUUCUCUAACCUUAGUUUGACCUUUCUUGGGAUUACAAACAAUGACAUGUACUAGAUUGGCAAGCUAGACAAUGUACUUCUAAUCAAUGCAAGUCUCCCCAUUUUAGAAAUAUAUUGUAUUUUCUACAUCAACAACCAUCUACAAAACCUCUCUUCCACUAAGUCCCAUUCUGCUACCAAUCUGAAAGGGGCACCCAUAGGCAGACCUAGGUACGUAUAUGGAAUCCCUCUCACCUUGUAGCCCAAUUGCAUUGCUAAAUCUUCUGCAUCUGCAUCCCCUCCAAUUGGAAUCAAUUUAUUAUGAAACCAAGUUAUUGUUGAACCACACAAUACUUGACUUGUGUCUCAGAUAGGGCCAAAUACCUCAAGAUAGAGCAUUGCAUCUUUAACGAAACCUAAAAACUUAAAUGUGUAUGAUUAUGCAAGUUAGGCAUGGUUUAUUUGUACACAAACUUAGGAAGUUCUCUCAAGGCAUGGUCCCAUUAAAUAAACUUUGCAAGUACAUUAUCCAGGAUCUUAUAAUAAAUGAGAAGGAAACUAAGCUGCUAAGUUUGAACCAAGAUAUCAAGAACUAGAAAAUUUUAUUAUUAUAAAAUAAUAAAAUAAUAAAAUAAAAAUUCCAAACAAAAGACCGCAAUCAUCAAAAAGGGACCUUAGAUUACAAAAUAUUGAUACGAUAAAAGGGAGAAACAAAUUAAUGCACUAAAAACCAUUCUCUAAUUGUCCUUAAAACUCAAAAUAUUUGCCAGUACAAGAUCAUUAGAAGCAAAUCAAUUUACAUGAAGGAUAAUCUGAUUGGCACUCUUACCUUCAAAUCCAACAUCUGGCUUGUUAAUGAUUCUUUAAGUUUAUUAAAAGAUAAUAUUCUAUAGUUGCCAAAAUCAAUAUAGACUUCCAGAUUCCUUAGCUAUUAUUCCUUUUUUUAAGUUAGGAUUCAGGAUAUUGAUAACAAAAUGUUAGAGGUUCAACCCAAGUAUGUGGAAAGAAUACGAGUUACACAAAAGAGAAGAAAUUGCUCAAGAGAAAAAAUUAAAUAAAAAUAACAAUAACAAUUGAAAAAACUCAAGCCAAGAGAAAUCCAUAUUGUCAAUAGACUCCAAAAUAAAGGUCCUUUUCAGCAAUAGGCUUAACCAUCCACACACAGAAUGAUUGCAAGUUGUGCAACCCAAUUUCUUUAUGUAGUACUUCACCCCCAAUCCCAAAAGUUCUUCUAUUGUAUGAUUUUCCAAAUACACUAACCAAAUAUAUCCUUUAGCAACGAUACUGAUGCACAACCACAAUGCUAAGAAGCUUUACCUUUAGAUUUGCUCCUUCCAGAUUAGCUCCUUCUAAGUUGGCAUUGGUAAGAUCAGCAGUCUGAAAAAUUAAGGGCAAACCAAUUAAUACAUCCUGACAACCCUCAAGCAUUCUAGUCAACCAAUUUUCUUCACAAGGUUUGGUAGGGAACAUACUUGAUGUAAGUAAUUUCACUAGAAAAAGUAUGGAGCAAGUCCAUAUCUUAAAAUGUUCAUCUCCCCAAUGAUCAAUACCUUGAAACUUUUAACAUAUUUUUUGAUAGGAUGAAACUUUAACAUAUUCACUUUUAGAAGAUCGAAAAAAGUUUAUGAUUGAUCACAAUUUCUAAGAAACAUUUAUUUUUUAAACUUUCAAGCUUUUUUAUGGUCCUUUCACCUUUUUUUUUAUAGGAAACCACGCAUGAAUAUAUUGAUAAGAUAAAAUAGUACAUAAGGAGGAUGAGAAGUCCUCCCGCCAGAAUUAAAACUAAACAACACAAGAAAAUAACAUGACACAACACCGUCUCAUUGGAACUACACAGUGCUAGCCAAUCUAGUUGUAAAACGUUAAGGGGAAUGCCCUUAAAACCCGCUGAGCAAAAAGCCCAAAACGAAGUGAUGAAAUGAAUGGAGUCCCAAAGAUUCUCUGAAUUUCUAGCUUUGUCCUCAAAUAUCCUAGCAUUUCUUUCCCUCCACACAACCCAAAUUAAAGCUCUCCUUUUACCUUUUUGCUUGGGAUGGUUUUUUAUGUAUGGAAUUUAGAAUUUCAGAUCUAUUUUUUGAGGCAUUAUUGCUAUGUCGUUAAUUACUUAAUUUGGUAUAUCAUAUGCCGGUGUGUUUGAAUUUGGAUAUAUUUUAAUCAUGUGAUAAAUCUUUGCAUGCUAAACUCCAUAUAGUUGCAUCACUGCAUUAUUCUAAAUUUGCAAUUUUAAGGAACAAGUUUGCCAACUCUGUAUAAACUGCAUGUUAGAUUCUAUAAAAUUUGUGCUAAUACAUUGGUUGCACUUUGCUUUAUCCUUGGGUUGUUCCUUGAGCCCAGGCUCAAGGACAGCUCUGCACGCACCUUGCACUUGUAAUACUUAUGGGUUACUGCAUUCCUUCCUGCAUGCUCCAACACAACAUAUGGCAACAAACAGGGCAGCUUCAGAAAAAUCUCGUUCUUUCCUACAUUCUCAGUUCUUCUAUAUUUUCUUUUUUUCCUUUUUCUCUUCAAUUCUUAACAAAAUUAUAUAUAUCCAAAAGAAUACAAUUCCACCACUCUAAAAAAAAUGAUAAAAAGAACCAAUAACUGAUUUUUAUAACAUCAUAAUUGCCUUUUUAGAAUGUUUCUAUCUCAUUUUGAAAUCUUAAAAAAGAUGGCUGAACAAAUGAUUUGACAGAAAAUAUCUUCUGAUGGUGAAAGAAAACAUAAAAGCUUAAUUUAUAUAGAAAUUAUUGGCAUAUUUAAGAAUAUUUAACAGCCAAACCUUAUGCAAUUCAGUCGUUCACCAACAUGUUAGCAUGCAAAACUUGCACAUCUCAUUAUUUGCAUGUUCUUUCAAGUUUCUUAUUUCUUUAACAUGUAUUAUUUAUUUCAGUUUAUAACUGCUGCAUCAACCAAUAACAAUUUGUUUCACUGACUCUGCCAUCAAUACCAAGUUAGACUAGGGCCAAGCAAUAAUAAAAGUUGAAAUAUAGCAGGUUUCAGUCUAAUGACUAUGGCUGAGUUAGGUCAAGACUCGAGCAAAACAUAGAAAUACAUGCUGGGUACAAGAAAACUCUAGCCCACAUAUGCAGUUAUUUGACACCAUCCCCUACUACAUAAACCAUAUUUUCCAGCUCAUAAAUGGAUAUUCCGUAAAACAAGCAAGAAGCCCACAAAAUUCUGAAAAUGGGGAAACUACAUGUCCUUAAGACUUUAAAGAGUAUAAACCUGUAAGUGUGCAGAACGCAAGUCAGCCCCACAGAAGCUACAAUCAACCAAACAAGCAUCUGCAAGUAAAAAGGAAAUCUGAAUUCAAAUGCAUUUUUUACAUGAAAAAUGUCAGACUAAGUAAAUAAACAAAAACUGUAGCUCACAACAAGUGGUACAGCUUGAAGAACCUGAAACACUCGAUCAUCCUUGGAAAUAGAAGGCAAAAGAGACUGAAACUAGACAAUUGGAGUCGAUAUCCAACACAGGAUUUCCCACUUGAUAUCCAAAUGAACAAUAUAAUAUGUAAAAAUUUAAUGGCAGUAUGUUAAGUUCACAUAUGGUAUGGUUUCUUCAUUCUUGCUUCCAUAAGGUCCCUAUUAGUAAACUAAAGGAAAUAAUCAUCAGGUUUAUAGAAGUUCACCAGUAGUACCUCAACCCAACCUUAGGCUCUUGGGUAAAUUAAUAAUCCUGUCUUAAUAUUAGUUUAAUAAAUUAAUCACAGCAACAUGCCUAAUUAAAAUUAUAGUUAGUUUAUUAGGAAUUACAGACACAGGUUGUUAAUUAAUUAAGGAGCAUUACUUAAUUAGAGUAAAACCUUUCGGAAAAUUCCUAUGCUAUGACCUAGAAGAGGUAGGGAGGUUUUAGGGGAAAUUAGAAGGUUCUGCAGAUAAAUAAGCAAACCCUAAAAGACUACAGGUUCCAUGGGCUUCUGUUCUGAAAAACAAAUCCGUGUUUAAGAGCUGCAGAGAGAAGGGAGAAGGAAGAAGGAAGAAGGAAGAAUGAAGAAUUUUUCUUGGUGGUUUUGGAGAUCUGAGGUAAGAGAUCAAGACUUUGUGUUUUCAUAUUUUUGGAAACCUCCUGCUCUAGUAUUUAGAGAGUAUAAAUCUUUAAUUUUUUUUCAAUAAAAAAUUAUACAUUUGAUUACAAUGAAACAAUUAGGUACAGAAAAAAGGAUGAGAAAUCUUUUCCCUUGUAAGAACCUUGCAUCAACCUGACAAAAAGUAACACGACUGUUACAACUAUAAGAUCAAUUCCUCACGGACGUAGAAAAUCCCCUACAAAAAAGAUCAAAAGUUUGGUUCCCCACUUUGCCAAUGAAUCUGCACUUGAUUAGUUAAUCGAGGAAUCCAACAAAAGAAACACCCUAAUGCUCAGGCAAUAUGAAAAAAUUGGAAAAGCCUCCCAUCCAACUCCAUGAACCUUUUCUUCCUUAUUCAUCCACAAUAUAAAUAUCGUCAAAUCUCUCUCUGGCCUCUGCUAGAAGAUUGCAGAGACCCUCGGCUUGAACUAGCUUCAAGUCUUCUAACAAGGCUAAAGUCUUGCCUCAAUGGCUAGCCUCUCUCCAGCAUCUUUCAAGAAUCCCUGUACUAGUGUUUUAAGAUUAUUCCUAGUUAUUCUGGAUUUUACCUAAAGAACACCCAUCAAUAUUUAGUUUAACAACAACAAAUAGAGAAAGAGUCUAAAUUGGGAGUGUCUUCUUUGACAGCCUAGUAGACGUAGAUCUGCACACUAUGUUCCAAUCUAGCAAUAUAAUGAUCAAAAGAGUGCCCUCAAACAUUACACAAGCUAAUGCACAUAGGGAUGAUGAUAAAUAGAAUAAAUCCCAUGCAAAGGCCUUGACUUUCGAAGGAGUUUUAGAUUUUCAGACGAAAUCUUCAAGAAGAAAGGAACUCAAGUUGGAGGAAAUAGAAAGGGCCUUAAAAAAAGAAUUAACUGAAUACAUAUCCAAAGAUAUCAAGGACCAAACCCUUACAUCAAAGAAAGUAGAUGACAAAUACACAAGAAGUAAAGUCAACAUGAGGUUAGUAAAUUCCUCAAUUUCAUGGUCCAAAAGGUACAGACAGAAAUUAAAUUUCAUGACAUAUAGGAGGAUAAACCUAGAAUCAAAGAAACACAUGUAUCUCUUUCCUCACUAGUCUAAAUGGAUUAAGGAAUUGAACAUAAAGAGGUAGAUUACUGGUGAAACUAAACCUGCAUGCUAAGGUUCAGCCAUUAAGGUAGAAAUUCUAACCCUUUUAGCAGGGUUGUUAGGGUUUUUCCAAUUUUCAAGAAGGUGAUUCUGGUAUUGUCAUAUCAUAGGCAACUAAGAAAGAAAGAGGACCAUAGGAAUUUGUCAGAGUGGUUGCUCCAGAUUAUUGACAUUUCUUCAGCGUUACGAUGUUCCUUUUAUUGGACUCCUUGCUUAGACAAUGAUGGGGCAAAUGCAUUAGCAAAACCUGGAGCUAGACAUAUGGUUUCUUUUGUUGAAGAUUUUGUACCAUUGUGCAUUUUAGUUAGAUUUAACUUUUUGGAUUAGAAUACACUCAUCUGUCUUUUUAUCCUUCUUUGUAUAGAGGAUUAAGUACUUGGAAGAAUUGCUCAUUGCUCAUCCUUCUCUAUACUUGAUGUUUCAUCACAAUGAAAUUGCUAUUUCUUAUCCAAAAAUAAAAAAUAAAAAGGUAGAUUACUCCAUCAAAUAUCUUUCCAAAAUCAAAUUUUUGUACCAUCACCCACUCAAUACCAAGUGAAAUCCCAAAAUACCUGUGCCAAGGCCUUCUAAGGGCAUUGAUGUGACAGCCUAACCACAAUACUGUCAUCCCAUCCAUUAGAGUGUUGCCCAUGAAUAUUCGAGAUGAUCUUGUACCAUUAAUCACUACUUUCCAUAACCUCCACAACCACUUCCUUAAUAGGACUUUAUUCCUCAAAGCCAUCCUCCUUGCUCUCAAGCCCUCUUCACCUUUUGGUUUACACACUUGAUCCCAUCCAUUAGAGUGUUGCCCAUGAAUAUUCAAGAUGAUCUUGUACCAUUAAUCACUACUUUCCAUAACCUCCACAACCGCUUCCUUAAUAGGACUUUAUUCCUCAAAGCCAUCCUCCUUGCUCUCAAGCCCUCUUCACCUUUUGGUUUACACACUUGAUCCCAACUUACAAGAUGAUCUCUCUUUCCUUCCCCCAUACUUGACAAUAAGAAUUCCUUCUAUAACCUCUCAACCCACUAUGCCACUUUAACAAGUGACGUGAAAAUAAAAGGAAAAUAAGAAGUGAUAUGGGACAAGCAUAACUACACCAAAGUUAUUCUACCACCUAACAACAAAUAGGUCUUUUCCAACCAUUUAAGUACCAAGAAACCCCCACCCACGAUCACAUCCCAAAACUAAACAGCUUUAGGAUUCCAUCCCACUCAGAAGAUAUGACAAAGACCAAUCAGAAACCUUGCAUUCUAUGGAGAAAGCCAAUUCCAAGACUAUGUUCUAACCAAUGUUGAUAUCGAACAAGGUACUCUUUUCUAGGUUUAUCCUUAGUCCUGAAAUGCGUCCAAGCACUAACAAAAUUAGUUUCAAACUCUGUAAGUUAUUUAAGCUAGCUCUUGGGAAGAAAAUUUUGUUAUCAGUGAAUUGUACAAGGAUCACCCUCAUCUUACUUCUACCCAACAAGAAGCCCCAAAAAAUACCACACUUCUCCACUCUUAAUAUCAAUUUACCCAGAAUAUCCAACACUAAAUAAAAAGGAGGAAGAGAAUCACUUAAAUCCUUUAAAGCCUUAACCCAUCCUUUAGCACAACCACUUAUUAGUACUGCAAAACUGAUAGACGACAAGCAUCCUCAAAUCCACGAUCUUCAUCUUUUUCUGAAAGGGUAAAACCUUUGCUUUUUAAUGCAUGUUCUAAGAACUUCCAAUCAAGUAAAUCUCUCCUAAAUCUAGGCAUCCAACAACCUCAGUCCCAUCCCUUCACUGGAAGUGGCAAUUACAGCAAAGGGCCCAUCAACUCAUAACCACCAAUCAAAGAAAUUCCUAGUAAACCCAAGCAUACAACACCCCCAGUCCCAUCCCGUCUCCCAACAACCACCUACCAAGAUUUUUUUAUUUUUUAUUUUUUUAUAGGAAACAACAAAUAAAUAUAUUGAAAGAAUAAGAAGUACAAAAGAAGGAUGAGGAAUCCUCCCACCAAAGAUAAAACUAAACAACACAAUAAAAGAACAAGAAACUACACUAUAAAAACUACGAACAAGCUCUCUUGGCUAGACCAUCCCAUUGGAACUACACACUGCUAGCCAAUCUAUUUGUAACACGUUAAGGGGAAUGCCCUUAAAAUCCACGGAACAAUAAGCCUAAAGAGAAGCUAGGAAGUGAACGGAAUCCCAUAGAUUCUUUGAAUUCCUAGCUUUGUCCUCAAAUAUACUUGCAUUUCUUUCCCACCACACAACCCAAAUUAAAGCAAUGCUCGCAUUUUGCCACAAAACUAUCCCUCUUUUGGAAGUGUCAAAACCUUUAUAAUUGAUAGACAUCAUGCCUGAAAUGCUUCUCGGAGGAACCCAAUCCAUCUUGGCUAGCUGAAAUAAUCUGUGCCACAACCCCAUGGACAAGGAACAAUGUAGGAAAAGAUGGUCUGCUGAUUCUUCUUGCUUCAUGCACAACUUACAAAUGACAGAACUAAAAGCUUUGUAAGGUCUUCUCAAUUGUAGCAAAUCAUUAAUAUUUACCUUCUUGUGUGCCACUAACCAAACAAGGGACUUGAGAAUUCCAUACAAACUUAGUAGGAAAACAAGGAGAUAAAUCGGGCACUUGGGACAAGGCUAUAAAGAAAGACUUGACUGUGAACAAUUCUUAAGAAGAUAAAGACCAGGAUCUCGCAUCUGAAGCCAAGGUGGAUAAAUGCAUACAAUCAAGAGAUCGCAUGAGGCAUUCUAGAUCUUCUAUCUCAGAAUCGGAAAGAUUACGACGGAAAUUAAAGUUCCAAGAGAAAGGGUGAGCAGAUCCGAGAAUUGAAGAAAUAAGACUAUUUUUAUCCAUGACUAAUCUAAAUAGUCUUGGAUAUUGGGAUUUCAAAGGCUGGUCCCCCCGCCACAAAUCUUCCCAAAAGCGAAUUAUUUCCCCAUCUCCUACCACAAACCAAGUAUACUUGGAAAAAUCUUAAAAGACUUGUGCAAUAGUCUUCCAAGGACAACGAUGUGACCAUCUGACUAAAGUGUUGGCAUCCCAACCAUUAGAAUCUGUCUCAUAAAUGCUCAAAAUGACCUGAUGCCAUAGAGUUGUACUCUCCCUAGGGUACCUCCACAACCACUUCCCUAAAAGAGCGAGAUACCUUAAAGAGAUCUUCCCAAACCCCAAACCCCCUUUUACCCUCGGCUUACACACUACAUCCCAACUAACUAGAUGAUCUCUUUUACCUUCCCCAACCCCUGACCAAAGGAAAUCCCUUUGCAAUCUCUCAAUUUUUGCAGCCAAUGAAGUGGGAAUCUUAAACAGAGAGAGAAAGUAGCUAGGAAUGUGGGAAAGGCAAGAGUGGAUAAGAGUUAUCCUACCCCCAAAAGAUAAGUAAGCGCCUUUUGCCACCCGUCUAAUCUCCUUGAGAUUCUCUCAAUCACUGGAUCCCAGAAUCCACAAACAAUUGGAUUCCCUCCCAAAGAAAGACCCAGGUAGAGUAUAGGUCAAUCAAAAGCCUUGCAGUCAAGAAACAAGGCCAACCUAGAGAGAUGAUUCUGAUCAAGGUUGAUGCCAAAAAGAUUACUCUUGUCAAGAUUGACCUUAAGCCCGGAAAUUUGCCCAAACACUAAUAAUAAACUCUUGAGAGUUUGCAGUUCUUCCGCACAAGAGUUAGAAAAGAAGAUGGUAUCAUCUGCGAAUUGCAAAUGGGACACCCUUGUUCUAUUUCUACCUACCUUGAAACCCUCCAACAUACUUCUUUCCUCAGCUCUCAACAUCAUCCUGCUCAACACAUCUGCGACAAUAGUAAACAGAAAAGAGGAUAAAGGAUCACCUUGCCUUAAUCCUCUAGAUGUCUUGACCCACCCUUUAGCAUUUUCAUUCACUAGAAUAGCAUAAGAGACCAAAGACAGACAACCUCUCAUCCAAUUCCUCCAUUUAGGACUAAACCCCUUCUUCUCCAACACGUGAUCCAAAAAAUCCCAAUUCACGUGAUCAUAAGCCUUUUCAAAGUCAAUUUUGAAGACAACUCUUUCCUCCCCUGAUCGCCUUUUCUCAUCCACUAUCUCAUUGGCUAUAAGAACUGCAUCCAAAAUUUGUCUCCCUUGAACAAAAGCACCUUGAGUAGAGUGGAUAGUUUCGUGUAGUACUCCUCUUAAUCGCCCUAAUAGAACUUUGGCUAUUACCUUAUAGAGACAAGUGAUCAAGCUAAUAGGUCUAAAAUCUGAAAUCUUCUUUGUCUGGAUUUUUUAGACAAAAGAACUAUGAAGGAGGCAUUGGUGCUUUGAUUAAUAAUCCCGCUACUGUGAAACUCUACAAACACCCUCACUAAGUCUUCCUUGAUCACAUCCCAACAAUUCUGAAACACUGCAAUGGUAAAACCAUCAGGCCCCGGUGCCUUAUCCCUAUCUAACUGGAAAAUGGCAUUAAAGAUCUCUUCUUCGGAGAAAGGGGAAUUUAGCCUAGAUGCACUCUCUCCUGAGAUUGGGGACCAGUUUAUGCCUUCGACUCUCCAAGACUCUCCAGGAGGACUCAAGUAGAGCUUUUUAAAAUAUAAUAAGAUCUCCUCUAUGAUGCUCUCGGAAUUAUCCAACACCAAGCCUCUUUCAUUCUCCAAAAACUUGAUGAAAUUCUUGUUUCUUCUGCCAUUAGCCACUUUAUGAAAAAACUUUGAAUUGCAAUCCUCGUCUUUAACCCAUUUCACCUUAAUUUUUUGUCUCCAAUGAAUUUCUUCCCUCAAAAUUAAUUCCUCUAGCUCCCCUUUUCUUAAAUCUCUUUGAGCAGAAAGAUCAGAAGAGAGAACCCCUUCUUGCUCAAUGGCAUCAAUGUUAGAUAUUUCAUCCAAGAUGCUUUUUUUCCUUUCCUUAGCAUUCCAAAAGUAUUCUUAUUCCAAUCUUUCAAUUUUGCCUUAAUAAAUUGUAACUUCCUCAUGAACCUAUGACCUUCCCAACCAUUGCCUUCAAAAUCUCUCCACCAACUACUAAAGCACUCUUUGAAACUUGGAUGUUGCAGCCACAUAUUCUCAAACCUAAAAGGUAUUGGGCCCCACUUGAAAGGAUUGGUAUCCAAAACAAUCGGCCAAUGAUCCGAUGUCCAUCUCGAAAGAACUUCUUGAAGGCUUUGAGGGAAGAAAAGCUCUCACUCAUUUGAAUAAAGAAACCGAUCCAAUAUCUUGCACACCGAAGACUCUUGCAUGUUUGACCAAGUGAAAGGGGCAUUCCGUUAGGGGGGAUCAAGUAAUUCACAAUCUCUUAUAAAACCAUCAAAAUCCCUCAUGCUAGAAGUGAAACUAAAGCCACCCAAUUUUUCUGAACUUCUCCUUAUAACAUUAAAAUCACCACCCACACACCAUAAUGGAAAAGAAAGGUCAAAAAUGUCUAAUAGCCCUUCCUAAGUAAGGGACUGUUUGGGCCAUAAACUACGAACAGCCAUAGUAGUCCGCAUCCAUCCAACAAAAACUUGACUGAAACAGAAAAAGAUCUAAUUACCACCUCCUCGCUGCUCAAUUUCUUUGAGUCUCAAAUGAUCAAAAUCCCUCCUGAAGCCCCGCACGUGGGAAGAGCAGCCCACUCCUUAUUCCUAACCAACCAGACACUACCUACAAACCUUCUGUCACACACCUCUCUUUUUGUUUCCUGAAACAUCACUACAUCCGAAUUCUCGAGCCUCAAAAAAUCCUUAACCACCCUUCGUUUUUUCCUAGAACCCAAACCCCUAGUAUUCCAACUGAUGAUUUUCAUAAAUACACCUCACUGACCCUAAACCUCCAAACCAACACCAACAGAUCUCAACUAUCUGUGUAAAAUCUGUUCUUCCGCCUUGAAUACACCUUAAUGUCCAAAUAACUUAAGACCUCACAGACUUUGGCCAUUCUGCUGGAGGAAAGGCCUUCAAUUUGGAACCCACCCAUCGGGGGGGACUCCGCAACACCCUGGCUAACUGUGACCGGGUUGGGGGCCCUAAGAGGCGAGCCGAGAUUGGGCUUAAAGGAUUUAAAACUCUCGGACAAAUGGUUCAAACUAGCUAACUGGGACACCGCAACAUCUCGGUUAGGAUUGCCAACAGACCCAAGACAAAAAGCCCCAUCGUCAUCUUUUUUGGAAAAAAUUUCAUAUAUAACUCAAGGUUUCGUAGGAAACUGAUACUGAAUGACUGCAUUAGGAAGAACGGGAACAGAAGGACUCAGGUGUGGAAGAGCCAAGCCAGAGGGAGGGGGAAAAAAAGACAAAUGACUGAGAAUGUUGAUAAGAAGAUACCUCGAGGUCUUCCACUACCAUCAUUCCACUAGACCCCACCGAGUGAACCCUUUUUCUCUGGUUACUGGAUAAGAAGGGAAAACCGCGACUGAUGAACCACAAUGAGGAAAACCCGCAAAUCCCUUAAAACCUGCUUUGUCUUCACCUUUAGAGGAGUUGCACAAUUUCUCCUUCCCUUUUGAAAGGAAAGGAGCCUUAAGAAUAGACCUUUGAUCCGCGUCUCCACUCGGUGGCGACGUACCUUCCCCGGAACACCUUUUUCGACUCCCCGACGAGCGACUUGGACUCGCACUAAAGCUCCGUUCAAUCUGUGUUUGAGCUUUGAAAGAAUCUUCCUUUGGAAGAUCAUCGCUAGCUAACAACGGUCUCUCAAGCAUUAGAGGCUCGCUUCGACUUCGACCCCCUUGUCGGCAACCAAAACUUAGAGGGAACAGGGAAUUCCACAGCUUCUUUGAACCACACUUCAACACGGAACCCCUCAAUUGAGCUUCAAACGCCUCAGAGCCUACCUUCCCAUUUCCCUUUGCAUAGGGGUCAUCUCUACGUAAAGAGCCCUUCGCAGAGAUGGGUUGUCUGCCUCCCAUUUCUUGGCCCAACAACGAACACAGGCCUAUUAAAGAAACUCCCCUCUUCCGGCCCAAAGUCAAUUUCAACCUGUGGACUAGGCUUAAGAGAAGAUUGGGCCCUUCUCAUUUGUUUGGAGGCCCAAAGCCCAUCCUCAACAGUUGAUUGGGCUUUGUCCCCUCCAACCCAAACAUCUCCAUCUUGCCUUGGCCCGUCAUACCCUGUUCUCAGAAAAUUUGAAUUCAAACUGAGAGACUGGGAUGGUUGGGACCAGUUGUUCCCCUCUAUCGGUCUUCUCUUGCCACGUGUCCCCACAGGAGCAAAUUCAGCCUUUUGACAAACUUUUCCUUCCUUCAUUCUGCCAACUGCCCCAUCAGAAGACCUACCUACAAUCGUUGAUUUGGCCUCCUCAGCCCUCUUUUUGCCACUUGUCCACGAGUCAGGUUCAAGCUUCUGCCGAGUUGACUCACCCAUUUCUCUUCCUCGCCUAACGUCAUCCUCUCCAGCCACUGCAACUGAAACUGUGAACUCUCAUCCCCCAUCUAAUACCUUGAUCAAAGGUGGGAGAAUUGAUCGUUCCUUCAUUACAACUCUCACCCUUGCCUUGCUAAGAUCAAACAGUUUUAGAAUCGAUCUCUGUCACCGUCCCCCACUGCUCCAUAAUUUUCUUUAGAUGUACCUCAUACCAUAAAUGAAAUGGGAAACCCCGUAAUUCUAUCCAACCUUCUCUAAAUUUCCCCUCUAUUACUGAAUUUUCCUUUGGCGACCAUCUUCUUAACAAGACUGUAAGCCCACCCUUGAUCCUGAUAAACCUUAAAUCGUGGAGUGAUAAAGUUUCCUCUAUGGUUUCCACAAAAAAUAAUCCUUUUCCACCGGAGAAGGGGACGAUAUUCACCACACCUUUAUGCCCUAAUCUUUUCGCCAAAGCCCGACCGACCUCAGCCCAAUUAACAGAACUAGCAUGACAUUCGCACACCACAGCUCUCGCCCAUCUCCCAACUGGAACAAGGCCUUCUCUCCUCGGUCCUUCUUCUCUGACUACAUUCGCGAAGGACCGGCACAAAGGACCCACAUGUUUGUGAAAAGUCCCUUCUUCCCUGCACUGUCUUCCCUUUUCAACAGUACUCAAGGAGGCGACCACCAACCUUGAAGACAAAGCAAACUUUAGAUUUUCCCAACCCCUACCAUUCUCUCCCUCAGGUAUUACCAGGAAAGUUGACUUUCUGUUAGAAGCAAACUCGGAGAGCCUUAUAAACCUACCAUGAUUGUUGAAGCAAACCUCCAUUAAAUGGACUCUGGUUUUCUCUCUGAAUUUUCUACUGAAACUCAUGAAAUUCUUCAUCUCAAUGGCCUUCGUCAAAUGUUCUAUCAACCAACCAACCUCUUCCUUCUCAAAUCCUAAGGCGAAAACAGAGCCUCUACUGUGCUCUAUAAGCGAACACCAUUUUCCCCCGGCCUCACCUUCGAACCUAACCAAGAAGGUCUUCCUCUUCACAGAGACCUUCACCUUCAUUUUUCUUACAGUUAUGUUCCUGACUACCAAGAUUAGGACCUAGACUAUUUUUAAUUGCAAGUUACCUUUAGAUGUUCUUUUCAUUAUUCCCACAACACACUAUAUCUGCAGCUAAUAAAUAUCAGCAAUACAUUUUCAGGUUGUGUCUUUGCUGAGCUCUACUUGGUGUGUAAAACUACCAUUAUAUCUUUGGUCUCCAGGUUGAUGUGGGUGCCCACAUGGCAUUCUGAAUGAUAUAUUUCAUAAGAUAUGCAAACAAAGAAUAUGAUAACUUAGUUUUGGUUGUUUUUCAAUGGUAGUGAUUUCUUUCUGUUAAUCAUGCAUAAUACUUGAUUUAAUGAUACCAAUGCCACAGGGGAGAUGCACAUUACAGUCCUAGUCGUACCUUCGAACAUUAAAAUGACAACCAUAUGUUCUUUUAGAAAAUAAUGUAAAUCCGAAGAAUAGAAGUGAGACUAGAUGCCAUUAUUUCAAUGCAUUGAACUCAAAGAAAAAAAAAAACAUAUGAUCGAAUGUUUCAUAAUAUGCUAACAAAUUGACCUAACAGGUAGAUGAAUACCCAAAUAAACAGGACCAAAACCCAUGUCAAGGAACUGUUAAGCGAUUAAAUUUGCAAGAUAAUGCCUGAUCACAAAUUUGCAAGAUAAUGGAACUAGAAAACAGAUAGUGUUGUCUUGAGAGGUAGUACUUGUUGAAGAAAGAUAUGAAGAUUACUGAGUAUUAUGAGAAUGAUAGGAAAAAAAAUUGCCUUGUAGGUUUGCGCUCUGAAGAUUUGCUCCAGCUAAUAAAGCUCCACGAAGAUUUGCCCCAGUAAAUUCACAUCUUCCCUAGGCAAGAUCAUAUCAUUUGAGAAGGCAGUCCAUAAAAUGUAAAUAUGAUCUAGAACUGUAGAAGGCAAUACUAAUGUAAAAGUUAGGAUCUAAAAUAAGUCAGUCUGUAUCCAGCAACAAUAGCAAAUUAGAGCAAUACAAAUAAAUCAAAAUAAAAAUCCAGUAGUUCUCUGUUGAGUGGCUUACUCACGCAGAGAUGCAUUAUGAAAAAUGGAACCCUCAGCAUCCACAUCCUGUAAUAAGACUACAGAAGCUUAAAUUUGGCUCUACCCAGAUGCAUAGAGAAAAAGGAAAAGAAGAAAAUAUGGUAAUAAUUAUCAAACCUACAUUACAUCAGCACAAUGAUAAGAAUGAAGACCAUGCCACAGCAAUCACAUUAUCAACAUUUAGUCCAACCAUAACCAGUUUGCACUAAAUCUUUCCAAUUGGGAGGUGUUAGAGAGGGUUAGUACAGCUUGAUGACUCAAAUAGAAAAUGAAGAACCAAACAAAUUAACAGGCAGGCAAACCAUUCAUUGGUCAUGUUCAGUUCUAACAACUCUGGAUACAGUUUUUCUAAGUUCCCAUGCUUCUGGAAAUAAUAACAACCAUUCAUGACAAAGACAUAGUCUAACAAAAAACACAAAGAUAUGCAAGAAAAUGGAAAUAAUAGUUUUCAUUCCUAACAUAGAUGUAUUAAUAAAUUUCAUUAAGACAACUUACCCGGAAUUUUGCACACUGAAGGUUAGCACGGGAGAAGAAAACACUUUUAAGGCAUGCAUAGCUGAAGUCCACAUAUGACAGGUCCUGCAUAUUUUUAUAAGAUGGAUGCAUCAAAGGAGGCAAUACCUCUUAAGAAUUUUUACUAUUCACCCAAAAAAAUAAAAUAAAAUAAUAAAAACAAAAACAAAUAAAUAAAUAAAAUCUCUUGGAGCAUUUUAUUUUGCAUAUUUAACCAUCCAACUGGGGUUUUUAAUAACAAUAAUCAUAGAUAAAUAGGUUUAGGGUCAGCAAAAUGAAAUCCUAUAGUUAAUCUUAAAGUAAUUACAGUUUUCACAAGAUAACAUCCAGUUGACACUGGCCAGUGGCUAUUGGCAAUAGAAUCACUUUUCUGUAAGUGCCAUUUCUAGCCUACCAAAAGUGCUUACAGAAAUCUCUUCAGGCAUUUAGAAGUUAAAAUUAUUACCAGUUUAGAAAGAUCAAGGCCAGAGAGAUUCAGUCCUCGGAAUCUAACUUUCUCAGACUGUAUGCAUUUGAUGAUAUCUGUGCGUGUCAAUUCAGUAUCUAACUCCUCAUUUUCCUUCCUCUUAUUAUUUAAAACAUCACCAAUUCCAGCUAUUAGUCCCUGAAACCAUACACACAAAUUUUCAUUACAAAUAUAUAUAACAUUUCCCUAAGAAAGUAGGUGAAACAGUAAUCUUUAAUUGAGAGAAUUACAACUUAAUUUUAAAGAAAGAAAAUAAAAAAUAGGAAACACAAUAAACCUUGUUCAACAUUUCAUAUCUGUGCAUAACAUAUGAAUCUCAAGAUAUUUAUAAUACAUACAAAUUUCCUAAGAUUAAAAGAUAUCCAAGAAAAUUCAUUAUCCAAUGUUUGAAUAAAUAUAGGUUUGAUGAAACUAGAGUUAUGGAGUUUCAAGAAUCAUGAUCAUUCAAACCAUUUCCAACAAACCAGGAUUAAAUAAGCAGAUUGUAUGUCCAUAAUUUCAAAUAAUGUUCCUAAAAGAGAGAGAGAAAUUCAUGACCGGAAUUAAAGGAAAAUUCCCAACCAAAAUAUUUUUAAUGUCAUAGAAAUAUGAUAAUGGUCCUUCCUCUGAUAAGCAUUUCAAGAACCCUAAAUAAAAUAAAGUACCAUAUUGAUAACAAUAGAACUCCUAAUUCAUGAUAAGAAUAAAUUGAUAAAACUCCUAAUUUUGAUUAGAAUAAGAAUCCUAACUUCAUGUGAACAAAAUCCCUCUUAUCCCCUACAUCUAUGCCUAUAAUAAACUAGAAAUUGGUGGUCUUGAACAUCAUCAGUUUUCCUCAGUAGAAAAGGACACAACUCUGAUGAAAUAUGAGCAUGGUAAUGCUCAAGAAGGUCAGGAUCAAAUUGUUGAAACUCAUAAUAUGUAAUACAUGUUGCACUAGACAUUGGACGAUCCUUCCAUUUGAUAAGAAAACAUUACUAUCCACCAUGGAAGGCUCCAAACCAAUUAACCUAAUCAUCAAGGAUAUCCCAUAUCUACUACGGGGUGUCUAUUGAAAUAAUAGAUGUUUGGGAACCUUUAAAGCCACUAUCCGACAAAAUAAGAGGCUCAAAAGUGCCUCAAUAAGGAAACACAUCUCUCACAUUGAAAAUUGGACUCGUAUUCAUAUCAUAUGGUAAGUCAAGAAAAAAAAAUUUAUUGGCAAUAAAAGAGAAUAUAUUGAUAGUGCCUUAGAAAAGGCACACCAAAGUACACACAAUGUAUGCAAUAUGCCCCUAUAGGCUAACAAAGGAAAGAGAACAAAAAAACAACCUCCCUCUGCUCUUUUUUUUUUUUUUUAUGUGAUAACCAAGGAACCUUCCAUGGUCAAGCCUUUAGGACUCUCUAUGGGGACUUAAACCUCGAGCAACAACCACCGGGUAAAUUUAGGGUAUCAUCAAUGACAAGAUUCGAACCCAAGACCAUGUGCCACUUAGUGGGACCACACUUCCCAAUGUUUGCCCUACCCAAUUGGGUUACCCUAGCGAGUAACCUCCCUCUCCUUACUUCAAGCUUAGCUAAUCAACAAAGCCUAUCAUGGAUAAUUGACAAUCUAUGUAUACUUUUAACCCAUUCCAAAAAAAAUAGUCAUAAAAGAAAAUUUAAUUACUUAAUCCAACUGCUCAACAUCUUCAAACAACCUCCUAUAUUUUUCCUUCCAAAGAGUCGAAAACACACGCAAAAGAGUGACCCUUCAAGCUUUCUUCCAUUUCUUCCACACAAAAGAACCAUGUCAACUUAAAAGAUUCUCUCUAACCAUGGAGCACAUCACCUAUGACACACCGAACAAAGAAAAAACUAGUUGUGACAACAUUCUUGCUUUGGCACAAUGAAGAAGUAAAUGAUCAAUUGAUUAUUCAUCACCUUAACACAUGUAGCAUCUAUCUGGCAUGAUCCAUCCCAUCCUUUUGAGUCAAUCAAUUGUCGAAAUCUUUCCUCAAAUGGCUUCCCAUGCAAAAAAGCUAACUUUCAUUGGCACCCAAGGUCCUCUAACUCACCUAACUAAGGAAGCAUAGAGAGAUUUGAGAAGAUGCUACUUUUGGUUUCCUUCCAAGUCAUCUUAUCCUCCUCAUUGCCUUUUAUUAAGGUCACAUGCAAUUCCUUCAAAAGGCCUUCACUCAAUCAAGUUCUCAAUCAUUGAAAAGAAGGGGCUCCAUCCGACCACUUCCCCAUCCACCCACACCUCUGCUACCCAUUCAUCUUUGGAGGCAGCAAUAGAAAAUAAUGUUAGGAAAGCAUCUUCCAAAGUCUUUUUUUUUUUUCCAAAGUCAUAUCACUACACCAUACAUCUUUCCAAAAUUUUACCCUUCUACCAUUCCCGACAAUAAAAUGAGACAUGCUUUUUAUGGCAUUCCAACCAUUUCUAACAGCCUUCCAUACACACACCCCACCCCAUAACCAUAUCACAGCCCCCUUGAACGCCAUUCUCAUACCUCUUACCCAAACUUUCCUGCCAUGACUUGUUUCCACAAGGUUUGAUCCUCAAUUGCAAAUCUCCAGUUAUACUUGCCAAGCAGGGCCUUGGUAAGUAAAUAUGCAUUAGGUCCAAGUCAAUAUGUGUCAUGUCCAAGUAAAUAUGCAUUAAGCUUAACAUAGAAAACAUAAAUGUCUAGAGCAAAAGUAUUCUUCAUGGUCAGAAGGCAAAGGGAUGAGAUCACUCAAUUAGCAGAAAAAAAGGACAUAAAAACUAUCUGAAAUGGUGAUCUAACAAUAGAGAGAUUGACGAAAUUGUUACAAGGUAAAUUAAGAGUCUGUUUAGGAUAGCUUCCUACUUUUGGCUUUGGCAAGAAGCUGAAGCUAAUGCUAAAGCCACAAUAUUUAAAGGGUAAUAUUAGUAAUGUAAAAGUUUUGUUAAACAUGAAAGAACUUCUUGUACAAGUCAAAAUAGAGUUUCUACAAAAAGCAACAUUUUCCCGACCUCCACAUUAAACUCUUUUUUAAGCAAUAAGCUCUCUUAACAAAAUUAGUCAAACAAGCAUAGAAACUCUUAUUAAUCUUAAAAAAGAGUUUUUAGCUUUUCAAAAGUCAAUCAAAAUACGAUAUAAAUUUCAAUUACCUUGCCUACUCCUAUAAGACUCCUAAGCGAGUCCCCUAAAUUAUAGUUAAAAAUCUCAGUUUAACCACCACUUUGUGGAUUAAAGGUUGAAGAAAAUUUCAAAUUGGUGCCAAAAAAUUUCCAAAGUGCCUUCCAAAUAUAAUUGACAAACUUGAGAUCCCCGUUAAGACACUGUAGAAGCAAGUAAAACAUUGGCCGACCUACUACUCAAAAUAAUAAUUUGGCUACAUGAGAACCAUAAGCUAUUUUGCCAUAGAGGACAAUGAGUGUAAUCUUAGAAAAUCUAUCCACCAUAAUAAAAACAAAAUCAUGUUCUCAAGCUACUUUAGCCAACCCAAGAACAAAAUCCAAACUAAGGUCUCUCCAAGGGUUGUGUGGCACUAGUUAAGGUGUAAAUACACCAAUGUUUCCCUUCUUAACAUUCUCUAGAUGACAAGUUCGAUGCCAUGGCACAAUUUUAGCCAUAUCACUUUUCAAGCCAUCUAAUAAAGCAUGGGUUUAUCCCUAACAAGGUUACCAACUAAAACUCCACCAUGCAAUUGACAAAUCAAAAGGUCCCUUAUAAAAAUACAAGGGAUGCAAAACCUAUACCCUCUAAACAAGUAACCAUUGUAAACAAUAAAAUCAACAUGAUUUGGACUAUGAACAUCCUGAAUUUCCCCAUAAAUGAAACCAAAAUAAUGACACCCAUGCUUCAUCCUCUCAAAUCCAACUACAUGUACAUUCAAGACUUGUAAAAUGGCCACUACUCAACUAAGGGCAUCAACCAAAUUAUUCAAUGACUUAAUGGUGGUAGAAAAAUUAUGCAUUCUUUAAAGAACUCUAUCACNNNNNNNNNNNNNNNNNNNNNNNNNNNNNNNNNNNNNNNNNNNNNNNNNNNNNNNNNNNNNNNNNNNNNNNNNNNNNNNNNNNNNNNNNNNNNNNNNNNNNNNNNNNNNNNNNNNNNNNNNNNNNNNNNNNNNNNNNNNNNNNNNNNNNNNNNNNNNNNNNNNNNNNNNNNNNNNNNNNNNNNNNNNNNNNNNNNNNNNNNNNNNNNNNNNNNNNNNNNNNNNNNNNNNNNNNNNNNNNNNNNNNNNNNNNNNNNNNNNNNNNNNNNNNNNNNNNNNNNNNNNNNNNNNNNNNNNNNNNNNNNNNNNNNNNNNNNNNNNNNNNNNNNNNNNNNNNNNNNNNNNNNNNNNNNNNNNNNNNNNNNNNNNNNNNNNNNNAUCUUUUUGGGAAUUCAAGUGUCUCUAUGCAUCAUGGUUAAAAACUUUUGAAAAAGAUAAUACCUCCAAAUACAAAAAGCUUGUACAAAAGCAUAGACUCUUUAUCAUAAGUGGAUUAUCUAUAUUUAGCCUCAUUGAGUUUCUCACUAAAGUACGCUAUAAGACAUCCUUCUUUUACUUACAACGCCUUCUAUGUCAAUGCUUAAUGCAUCGCAUGCCACACCUUAAAGAAAAUUAGAACAACUUAAAACAGUUGUCAACAUCAAUUUUUCUCUUCAUCUUCGCAAAUGCCUUUCUUGUAGCUUUACCAAGGGAACUCCCUUUUUCUCAUACAACCAAUACGGGAGCUAUUUUCGUGUUAGAUUCCAUAAUGAAUUAUCCACAGAAAGCAAUAAUCUGAUGAAAACUGCAAACUUCAGAAAUAGCCUUAGGAUUUGGUAACUCUCUAAUAACCUUAACUUUCUUAGGAUUAGCUUCUAUACCCAUUAAGGGAGAUAACAAAUCAUAAAAAAUAAAAAUAAAAAUACUUUAGGCUAAAGGAAAGAGCAUCUCUUAAGAUUAAGAUAAAGUUUCCUUGCAUUGAAAGUUUCAAAUGCUUCCCUAAGAUAACCUAAAUGUUCCUUUGGAGAUUGUGUAUUGUUAACAUACAGUGUUUUAAAAACCGAACCGGACCAGUUGGUCCGAUUGGUUCAACCACCGGCCAGUCACAAAUCCGGUCCGGUUCAUCCAUUUGAGCCGAGCAGCCUUUGAACCGACAUCGAACCGGUAGUCAAACCGAUGAACCAGUUGACCCGACCGGUUUCGGGUGAAUCGAACAGUUCAAAAAACCCCCCUUUCCUUCCCCACUUCCAGCUCUGCCUCAGCUGACGAGACCCUUCUACUCCGCCUUAGCCGCCGCAACCCUUCUGCUCCACCUCAGCCACCACAACCCUUCUACUCCCAGUGUGCGCCUCCUCAUGCCUCAGCCAACCCCCUCCCUAUCCUUCUUCUGUUGCUAGCCUGUGCCUCCCCCACCCCACCACAUCCUUUUUUUACUUCGAAUCUGCUCCAAGCAUGCACUCCCAAACCCCCACUCCCACCCCCCCCCCCCCUUUUUCUUUUUCCUUUUCUGCUACUGCACAUUGCCUCUUCCCCCUUCCCCUUCCUUUUUAGUUGCCCUUUUACUUCCCCAUCGAUUUUUAUUUUAUUUAGCUUAUUAAUUUAUAUUCAUUAUUAUUAAUUUUUAUUUUUUUUUCACUUUAUGAUUUUAAAAAUUUGUGAUUUUAAUUUAAAUUAAUGAAAACAUUAUAAUUUUAAAAUAAAUUUUUUAUUUUAAAAUAAGUUUUUGAUUUAAAAAUAAAAUUAAAAUUUUCUAAUUUUAAAUUAAAUUCUAAUUUUAAUUUCUAAUUUUAAACUAAUUUUUUUAUUUUUAAAUAAUUUUAUGAUUUUCAAAUAAAAUUUUAAUUUUUAAAUAAUAUAUAAAUUUUUACUUUUAUAAUUAUUUUUAAUUUUAAUAAUAUAUAAAUUAUAUAUUUAUGACGUCACCGGUUCAACUGCGGUUUAACCGCCAAUCCAACUAGUGAAUCAUGAAUCGGUCCGGUUCUGAAAACAUUGUUAAGAUAACAUCAAAAUAGACCACAUUUUCCAAUGGAAAGGACAACCAAGCUUGCGUAAUAACUCUCAUUAAUGUUCUAGUUGCAUUAGGUAAUCCAAAGUGCAGGACAAACCACUCAUAAAGUCUAUCUUGUAUCUUAAAUACAACUUUCCACUCUAUACAACGAACUUCUAUUUUACAAAAUUGUUUAGACAUGUGCCUCUAUCAUUGAUAAGUUGUUUAUUCUUAUCAUCCUGCUUGGACUAAUUACUUUUGGUUCCCUUUCUUUCUCAAUAUGUUUCAAAUUAAUUUCUUUUCUAAUUGCACAAUCUUUAAUUAGGCUAAUUCAAACCUAAUUAGCCUAUAAUCCCAACUAAUAUAUGUCACACUAUUUAAAGUUCUUAUGAUAGUGAUGUCUCAAAUUGAGAACACUAAAAAAGUUUCUUAUGAUCCAAGUAAGAUGAAGGUUGUCAAGGCUACCAAGCUCAACAAGACCACAUUUGUAGCCUUAAUUCUAAAGGGGAUUCAAGUCAAUGGGAAUCACUAUUAGGAAUAAGCUUCAUUAGAUAAUGGCUAUGAUGGUUCCCUAAGUAACUCCUUCCAGCACCAAGUGAUUAAGAGUAUGGCUUGCACAGUGAUGACUAAAAUAACAUCAUCAUAGUAAAAGCCCACAUUCAUGCCCUUGGAAAGCUAUAGCCCAGAUUUAUUCUAAAUUGACUAGUCAUAUUCACCUUAUGCAAGUGAAGGAUCCUCUACUCUUUCUAGGAGGAUCUAUGGUGGGAAGAAGAUCAGCCUUUAUUUCAUCUAUUCCCCCAUCUUUACUUCCUUUUGAGGUCAAAGGUUCUCCCUAUAGUUAGGAUCUUCGCUUUUGCGCACGAGUCUCCCACUUGAAAUCUUGAAUUCCAAAGGCAUCCUUUAGAUCAAGAAAUUGAAGAUCUAUUAACCCUUCUAUUGUCUUUGCAAAUUCUACUUUCCUUGUACUCCUCCUAAUGAUAUGUGUUAGUCCGUAGGCCUAAUGGUUCUUUCUACUAUAAAUUUGUCUUCCAAUUUCUUUCUAAAUUGAUUCUCCUUCUCUCACAAAGGCAAACUCAUUUGAAAACCAAAACUUCCUCAAGAGUUCAAGCUUUUGCUUGAUUGAUGGCUAAUAGAAAGGUAAAUGCUAAUGAUCUACUUUAGCUAAGGAGACCCCUUCAAACCUGUUGAAUAUAAUGUAUUUAUAGUAUAUUAUCUUUCCUUGUUAAUAUAGGUCACAUGUAUGGUAGUUAGGACUCCUAGCCUUGUAUAUAUAUAUCUCUCAAUUGUAAGUAGAUAUUACAUGAAUGAGAAUUAAGGUUUUUCUUCUUUCUCUCUCUCUCAACAUGGUAUCAGAGCUAGGGAAGAAAACCUAAUUCUUUCCUGUUUCCCGUGUCAUCAACUCCGGGAAACCUUUCGGUGACCGUGUUUCAUUCCGGUCACCUUCCCCAUCUCCCAAUACUUUCCGGUCAGUCGGAACGUCGUUAGAAACCACUCACCGCCGGCGAACUUUUCCGGCGAACUUUUCCGGCGAACUUUUCCGGCGACCUAUUUUUCCAACACCGACCAUACCAGAAGGAGCGCCUGGAGGAGAUCUCCAACUUUUGUGAAGGCACCGGCACCAAAAGAGGAUCCACGCGCCGGCCACGCGCCAUUUUCCGGCCGGCGACUGCAUCUCACGCGCCGGCGCGUGAGGGCGCGUGAGGCCUUUUCCGGCGACGCGCCUCCUCCUCCAGCCUCGCCUGCCGCCGACCAACAUCCCUACCUACCUGGUUCUCCCAUCCGAGCCCUGCACGUACCUCUUUUGGGGUUUUUUGUCUCCGUCAGCCCUCCAAACAGCCUUUCCGACGAAGUUCCGGCUACUUUCUCUCCACCCCAAUCCCUGCACGUGCCUUGGGAAGUGUUCUUCUACCUUUCUGGUGGUACCACGUUGCGAUCUGAGGCCGUCUCCCUUUUUCAGUGGUGCCACGCCGCAAUCUGAAGCCGUAUUAAGGCUCUCUUCGAUCCAAAUACGUGAAUAUGACCACCAAAAAUCAGAUCUUUACCUCUGUUAUCUCUGGAUCUCCUAUGAUUACCUCAGAGAAAUUGGUUGGCAGUGAAAAUUAUCUUUCCUGGUCUGCCUCUGUUGAACUUUGGUUUAUGGGUCAAGGAUAUGAGGAUCACUUGGUUACCCAGGAGGCAGAUAUCCCUGAGGUUGACCGCGUACAGUGGAGGAAGAUAGAUGCACAGUUAUGUAGUGUAUUAUGGCAAUCGGUUGAUCCCCGGAUUCUUCUUCAUCUUCAGGCCUAUAAAACUUGUUUUAAAUUUUGGACUCAGGCCAAAGGAUUAUACACGAAUGAUAUCCAGCGUCUUUAUAAGGUGGCUUCUGCUAUUAUCCAUCUCAGCCAACAGGACUUGGAUCUAUCUACUUAUAUUGGUCAGAUUGCCUCUCUUAAGGAGCAGUUCUUGACUGUGAUGCCUCUUACUCCUGAUGUUGGGGCUCAACAAACACAGCUUGACAAGUUCUUCAUGGUCCUUACUCUUAUUGGCCUCCGUCCGGAUCUUGAGCCUAUUCGUGAUCAGAUUCUUGGUAGUUCAUCAGUUCCGUCCUUGGAUGAUGUGUUUGCUCGCCUCCUCCGUAUCUCGUCCACUCAGACUUUGCCAUCUGAUAGCGCUUCAGAUUCUUCUGUGUUAGUUUCUCAAACUACCUCUCGAGGAGGACGCAGUGGUACCCGAGGUAGAGGCCAACGUCCUCAUUGCACCUAUUGCAAUAAACUUGGCCACACUCGCGAUCAUUGCUAUCAGUUACAUGGAAGACCUCCUCGCACUGCCCAUAUGGCCCAGUCCUCUAAUUCUCCGCUGCCUCAGCCUCCGAGCUCCUCCGCAUCUCAGACAUCUCAGGCUUCUAUUGCCUCUGUUGCCCAGCCUGGUAAUGCCUCUACCUGCCUUACCCACACAUCUUCUCUUGGACCCUGGAUUCUAGAUUCUGGAGCAUCUGAUCACCUAUCUGGUAAUAAGGAUCUUUUCUCCUCUAUUACUACUACCUCUGAUUUACCUACUGUUACCUUAGCUAAUGGUUCUCAAACUGUGGCUAAAGGUAUUGGUUUGGCCCUUCCUCUGCCUUCUCUACCUCUCACUUCUGUCCUUUAUACUCCUGAAUGUCCUUUUAAUCUUAUUUCCAUCAGCAAAAUCACUCGUACUCUUAAUUGUUCUAUUACCUUUUCUGAUAAAUUUGUGACCUUGCAGGACCGGAGUACGGGGAAGACGAUUGGCAUAGGACGUGAGUCUCAAGGCCUCUAUCACCUCACCUCAGAUUCAUCUCCUGCAGUUUGCAUUUCCACUGAUGCUCCUCUCCUCAUUCACAAUCGUCUGGGCCACCCUAGUCUCUCCAAGUUCCAGAAGAUGGUUCCUCGUUUUUCCACUUUGUCGUCGCUUCCGUGUGAGUCAUGUCAGCUUGGGAAACAUACUCGUGUCUCGUUCCCAAAGCGUUUGAAUAAUCGGGCAAAGUCUCCUUUUGAGCUUGUCCACACUGAUGUUUGGGGUCCUUGUCGGACUGCGUCUACUUUAGGAUUUCAGUAUUUUGUCACUUUCAUUGAUGACUAUUCUCGAUGUACUUGGUUAUUUUUAAUGAAAAAUCGAGCUGAGUUAUUCUCUAUUUUCCAGAAAUUUUAUACUGAAAUCCAAACCCAGUUCAAUAUUUCUAUUCGUGUGUUACGCAGUGACAAUGCCAGAGAAUAUUUUUCAGCCCAAUUUACUUCGUUUAUGUCUCAUCAUGGGAUUCUUCAUCAGUCUUCUUGUGCUCAUACUCCUCAACAAAAUGGGGUAGCUGAACGCAAGAAUCGACAUCUUGUUGAGACAGCUCGUACUCUCCUCCUCCAUAGUCACGUUCCUUUUCGUUUUUGGGGGGAUGUUGUUCUUACCGCUUGUUAUUUGAUUAAUCGUAUGCCCUCCUCUGUCUUACACGAUCAGAUUCCUCACUCCCUUCUUUUCCCUAACCAACCACUUUAUUUCCUUCCUCCUCGUGUCUUUGGUUGUACUUGCUUUGUUCAUAUUCUCACUCCUGGACAGGACAAGCUUUCCGCCAAAGCCAUGAAGUGCCUCUUCUUGGGAUAUUCCAGACUUCAGAAGGGUUAUCGUUGUUAUUCCCUUGAGACUCAUCGAUACUUUAUCUCCGCUGAUGUCACCUUCUUUGAGGACUCACCAUUCUUUUCCACCACUUCUGAGUCUCUUCCUGUUUCUGAAGUCUUGCCCAUUCCCAUUGUCUCCCCACCUGAUGCUAUGCCCCCUCGACCACUUCAGGUUUAUCAUCGUCGUCCUCGUGUCGUUGCUCCUCUCCCUUUUCCUGAGGCACCUGCUGACUCACUUCCUAUCCCUUCGGCUUCACCUGCCCCGGCUCUGCCUUCUCCUAAUGACUUACCCAUUGCUGUUGGGAAAGGUACUCGCUCUACUCGUAAUCCUCAUCCUAUUUACAAUUUUUUGAGUUAUCAUCGAUUAUCUUCACCCUAUUCUGCUUUUGUUUCUGCUAUAUCCUCUGUUUCUCUUCCAAAGAGCACCCAUGAAGCUCUUUCCCAUCCAGGCUGGCGACAGGCAAUGGUGGAUGAAAUGGCUGCUCUGCACUCUAAUGGCACUUGGGAUCUUGUUGUUUUACCCUCUGGUAAAUCUACAGUUGGUUGUCGUUGGGUCUAUGCAGUUAAGGUUGGUCCUGAUGGUCAGGUUGAUCGCCUUAAGGCCCGCUUAGUUGCUAAAGGCUAUACUCAAGUUUAUGGUUCUGAUUAUGGUGACACAUUCUCACCUGUUGCCAAGAUUGCUUCUGUCCGCUUGCUUCUCUCCAUGGCUGCUAUGUGUUCUUGGCCUUUUUAUCAGUUGGAUAUUAAAAAUGUCUUCCUUCAUGGUGAUCUUGCCGAGGAAGUUUAUAUGGAGCAACCUCCUGGUUUUGUUGCUCAGGGGGAGUCUGGUUUAGUGUGCAGGUUACGCCGUUCUCUAUAUGGCUUGAAACAAUCUCCUCGAGCAUGGUUUAGCCGUUUUAGUUCUGUUGUUCAAGAGUUUGGCAUGCUUCGCAGUACAGCAGACCAUUCAGUUUUUUAUCAUCAUAACUCCUUGGGGCAGUGUAUUUAUCUGGUUGUUUAUGUGGACGACAUCGUCAUUACAGGCAGUGAUCAGGAUGGUAUUCAGAAACUAAAGCAACAUCUUUUUACCCACUUUCAGACCAAAGACUUGGGGAAACUCAAGUAUUUCUUGGGAAUUGAGAUAGCUCAAUCCAGUUCUGGUGUGGUCCUUUCCCAAAGGAAGUAUGCUUUAGACAUCCUGGAAGAAACCGGUAUGUUAGACUGUAAACCGGUAGACACACCUAUGGAUCCGAAUGUCAAACUUGUACCAGGACAGGGGGAGCCUUUAGGAGACCCCGGGAGAUAUCGACGGCUCGUAGGUAAAUUGAACUAUCUCACCAUUACUCGUCCAGACAUUUCUUUUCCUGUGAGUGUUGUUAGUCAAUUCCUACAGUCACCAUGUGAUAGCCAUUGGGAUGUCGUAAUCCGUAUUCUUCGAUAUAUCAAAAGUACACCAGGCCAAGGUGUAUUGUACAAGAACAGAGGUCAUACUCAAGUUGUUGGUUACACAGAUGCAGAUUGGGCUGGCUCACCCACAGAUAGACGUUCCACUUCAGGGUACUGUGUUUUUAUUGGAGGUAAUCUAAUAUCUUGGAAGAGUAAGA
This 53120-nucleotide long non-coding RNA is filed under the name Vitis vinifera (wine grape). RNAcentral describes it as "long non-coding RNA (VVIN_LNC002366)". The record is from RNAcentral. Lineage: Eukaryota; Viridiplantae; Streptophyta; Magnoliopsida; Vitales; Vitaceae.